This 55865-nucleotide long non-coding RNA is filed under the name Triticum aestivum (bread wheat). RNAcentral's name for it is "long non-coding RNA (TAES_LNC024335)". The record is from RNAcentral. Lineage: Eukaryota; Viridiplantae; Streptophyta; Magnoliopsida; Poales; Poaceae.
UUUUUUUUUGGUUUUUCUUAAGGUUUAUCAAACACACAAGAAGAAAGCAAGAAAAAGAAAGUAAACUAGCAUGGAUAUUACAGUGAAAAAGUAUGAGAACCGACAUCUAGCAAUGAGUGUGUAAACAUAAAUGUAAUAUCGGUGGGAAAUACGUACUCCCCCAAGCUUAGGCUUUUGGCCUAAGUUGGUUUAUUGCCACGGCUGGCCUGGCAGAUAUCCAUAGUUGUAGUUGGGGUCGUACUGAGAUGCAGCGGCUAUUGCAUCAUGGGCUGCAGCUUGGAGGCGAGCUGCCCUCGUCCUCCUUUCGUACUCAUUUGCCUCCUCCCUGCUUAUAAAAUGUCUCCCCUUUGCCUGAAAGUCAAAGAGAGUAGGGGUAGGGAGAACAAUAUUGACGGCGUGACACCUGUCAAAGAUUAGUCGGUACUGGAGAGGUGGUUCAUUCCUCUCGACAACCUGAUGGUGAACCAUAGCAUUAAAGUCUAGAUAAGUAGGAGGCAAUUCAAUAUCAUCAUCGCGUACGGUUACACCAAGAAAAUCAGCUAAGCGGGUUGCAUAAAUUCCGCCAAAGAAAUCUCCAUUAAAUCUAUUAUGAAGCAACCUAUGUGCAACAAUGGCUCCCAAAUUAUAAGAUUUAUCUCCUAACACAGCACUCCUAAGAAUACUGAGGUCAGGGACACACAUGUGACAUGCUUCAUCAUUACCAUUUAUGCACCUACCUAUGAAGACAACAAAAUAAUGUAUAGCAGGAAAAUGAAUGCUCCCCAUGGUAGCUUGUGCUAUAUCUCUAGAUUUCCCCACAGUUAUACUAGCAAGAAAAUCUCUAAAUUCAGAUUUGCGAGGUUCACUAGUACUACCCCAUUGUGGAAGUUUGCAAGCAGUAGUAAAAUCCUCUAAGUCCAUAGUAUAAGAAUUUUCAUAAAGAUCAAACAGAAGGUUUGAGAAUUGUGUGAAGAUGAAAAUUCAAACAUCCUCACAAAGGAACUAGUGAGAUAGUGGUACUGACGGCACUUUUCUGCCUCGAAGCUCACAAGAUCAGCGUUACGCAAAUAGGUGUUAAAUUCUUCCUUGAUUCCCGCUCGAUCCAUAAAGUCUUCUGAAGGCCAUUCACAAGGCCGCACUGGAGCGUCCCUUGGUGGUUCACCGUCGGCAUCACGCAUUGCAAGCCUGGGUCCUUUCUUCCUUGAAGAACCACCUUGGUACAUUUUCCUAAACAUAUUUCUUCCUCUAGAAAAUUUCAGAAAAUUUUAGUAACUUCAAAUAAAAGUGAACCAAGCUCAACAAAAUUGAUAGCAACUACUCCAACAAGUGCCUAGAGACUAUAUCAUGCAUUAGAACUACUUGGAACCAUAUAAAUUUGACAUGCAAGCUCAAGAACAUGGUCACCUAGGCAGCACAAAUUUGCAAUGAAUAAAGCACUAGAACAAAAACUAAUUGGACCAAUGGAGGAGUCACAUACCAAGGAACAAUCCCCCAAAGCAGUUUUGUGAGAGGUGCUUUGAGCAAGGAGAUCAAAAAUCGCAGCAAAAUGAGCUAGAACUCAUGCUUGAGCUGGAUGGUGAUUUUUUUGGGAGGAAGAAGAAGUGUGUGGGUGCAGGAAUAAGUGGAGGGGAGCCACCAUGGGCCCACGAGGCAGGGGGCGCGCCCUGGACCCUCGUGGCCAAGUGCUUGCUCCCCCGCUGUGUUCUCAGUGCCAGAUAUUCUCAAAUAUUCCAGAAAAAAUCAUAUUAAUUUGGCAGGCAUUUGGAGAACUUUUAUUUUCAGGGUAUUUUUAUAUUGCACGGAUAAUUCAGAAAACAGACAGAAAAAUCCUAUUUUUACUUUAUUUCAACUAAAUAACAGAAAGUAGAGAGAGGGUACAGAAGGUUGUGCUUCUAAUUUCAUCCAUCUCAUGCUCAUCAAAAGGAAUCCACUAACAAGGUUGAUCAGGUAUUAUUAACAAACUCACUCCGAAUAACAUGGAACCGGAGAAAUUUUGAAUAACACUAUGUUACCUCAACGGGGAUAUGCACAUCCCCAAUAAUAAGAAUAUCAUAUCUCCUUUUGACAGUAGGUAGAGGAAAUUUAAAACCUCCAAAAAUAAUCGAUGGACUUUUUCCAAUAGAAUUGAUACUGUGGACUUGAGGUUGUUUCCUCGGUAAGUGUACCGUAUGUUCAUUGCCAUUAACAUGAAAAGUGAUAUUGCCUUUGUUGCAAUCAAUAACGGCCCCUGCAGUAUUCAAAAAGGGUCUUCCAAGAAUAAUAGAUAUACUAUUGUCCUCGGGAAUAUUAAGAAUAACAAAGUCUGUUAAAAUAGUAACAUUUGCAACCCCAACAGGCACAUCCUCACAAAUACCGACAGGUAUAGCAGUUGAUUUAUCAGCCAUUUGCAAAGAUAUUUCAGUAGGUGUCAACUUAUUCAUAUCAAGUCUACAAUAUAAAGAGAGAGGCAUAACACUAAGAACCGGCUCCAAGAUCACACAAAGCAGUUUUAACAUAGUUUAUUUUAAUGGAGCAUGGUGUAGUGGGUGCUCCUGGAUCUCCUAGUUUCUUUGGUAUUCCACCCUUAAAAGUGUAAUUAGCAAGCAUGGUGGAAAUUUCAGUUUCCGGUAUCUUUCUCUUAUUAGUAACAAUUUCUUUCAUAUACUUAGCAUAAGGAUUCAUUUUGAGCAUAUCAGUUAAUCGCAUACGCAAGAAGAUAGGUCUAAUCAUUUCAGCAAAGCGCUCAAAAUCCUCGUCAUCCUUUUUCUUGGAUGGUUUGGGAGGAAAAGGCAUGGGUUUCUGAACCCAUGGUUAUCUUUCUUUACCGUGCUUCCUAGCAACAAAGUCUCUCUUGUCAUAACGUUGAUUCUUUGAUUGUGGGUUAUCAAGAUCAACAACAGGUUCAAUUUCUACAUCAUUAUCAUUGCUAGGUUGAGCAUCAACAUGAACAUAAUCAUUAACAUUAUCACUAGGUUCAUGUUCAUUACCAGAUUGUGUUUCAGCAUCAGAAAUAGAAAUAUCAUUUGGAUUCUCAGGUGGUUCAGCAAUAGGUUCACUAGAAGUAUGCAAAGUCCUAUCAUUUUUCUUUUUCUUCUUUUUAGAAGGACUAGGUGCAUCUAUAUUAUUUCUCUGAGAGUCCUGCUCAAUUCUCUUAGGAUGGCCUUCAGGAUACAAGGGUUCCUGAGUCAUUUUACCAGUUCUAGUAGCCACUCUAACAGCAUAAUCAUUAUUCUUACUAUUUAAUUCAUUGAGCAAAUCAUUCUGAGCUUUAAGUACUUGUUCUACUUGAGUGGUGACCAUAGAAUCAUGUUUACUAAUGAGUUUAAAUUCACCUUUAACUCUAGACAUAUAAUCACCCAAUUGUUCAAUCAUAUAAGCAUUUUGUUUUAAUUGUCUACCAAAAUAAGCAUUGAAAUUUUCUUCUUUAAUCAUAAAGUUAUCAAACUCAUCCAAACAUUGGCUAGCAAACUUAGUAGGAGGGAUGUCAGCUUUAUCAUAUCUAUAGAGAGAAUUUACCUCUACUACCUGUGUCGGGUUAUCAAGACCAUGUGCUUCUUCAAUAGGUGAUGAAUUAAGACCAUAUAUUUCCUCAACAGGCGGUAAAUUAAGACCAUGUAUUUCUUCAAUAGGAGGUAAAUUCUUAACAUCCUCGGCUUUAAUACCCUUUUCUUUCAUAGAUUUCUUUGCCUCUUGCAUAUCUUCAGGACUGAGAAAUAGAACACCCCUCUUCUCCGGAGUUGGUUUAGGAAUAGGUUCAGGAGUUGGCUCAGGAAGUGUCCAGUUAUUUUCAUUGGUCAACAUAUUAUUCAAUAGAAUUUCAGCUUCAUCUGGUGUUCUUUCCCUGAAAACAGAACCAGCACAACUAUCCAGGUAAUCUCUGGAAGCAUCGGUUAGUCCAUUAUAAAAGAUAUCAAGUAUUUCAUUUUUCUUAAGAGGACGAUCAGGCAAAGCAUUACGUAAUUGGAGAAGCCUCCCCCAAGAUUGUGGGAGACUCUCUUCUUCAAUUUGCACAAAAUUAUAUAUAUCCCUUAAAGCAGCUUGUUUCUUAUGAGCAGGGAAAUAUUUAGCAGAGAAGUAAUAAAUCAUAUCCUGGGGACUACGCACACAACGAGGAUCAAGAGAAUUGAACCAUAUCUUAGCAUCACCCUUUAAUGAGAACGGAAAUAUUUUAAGGAUAUAAAAGUAGUGAGUUCUCUCAUCAUUAGUGAAUAGGGUGGCUAUAUCAUUUAAUUUAGUAAGAUGUGGCACACUAGUUUCAGAUUCAUAGCCAUAAAAAGGAUCAGAUUCAACCAAAGUAAUUAUAUCAGGGUCAAUAGAGAAUUCAUAAUCCUUAUCAGUAACGAAGAUAGGUGAAGUAGCAUAAGCAGGAUCAUAUUUCAUUCUAGCAUUCAGAGUUUUUUUGUUUAAGCUUAGGUAAUAAUUUCUUAAGAUAACUUCUAUCAUUGCAAGCAAGAAAGUCCCUUUUAGUUUCUUCAUCCAUAACAUAGUCCUCGGGCACAACAGGUAAUUCAUAUUUAUUGGGAGAGCCUUGAUCAUCACUUUCAUCAAUAUUAUCGGUUUCAAUAAUUUCAUUCUCUCUAGCCCUAGCAAGUUGUUCAUCAAGAAAUUCACCAAGUGGCACAGUAGUAUCAAGCAUAGAAGUAGUUUCAUCAUAAGUAUCAUGCAUAGUAGAAGUGGCAUCAUCAAUAACAUGCGACAUAUCAGAAUUAAUAGCGGAAGCAGGUUUAGGUGUCGCAAGCUUACUCAAAACAGAAGGUGAAUCAAGUGCAGAGCUAGAUGGCAGUUCCUUACCUCCCCUCGUAGUUGAGGGAUAAAUUUUUGUUUUCUCGUCUUCCAAGUUCCUCAUAGUGACCAGCAGAUAUAAAUCCCAAGUGACUCAAAGAAUAGAGCUAUGCUCCCCGGCAACGGCGCUAGAAAAUAGUCUUGAUAACCCACAAGUAUAGGGGAUCGCAACAGUUUUCGAGGGUAGAGUAUUCAACCCAAAUUUAUUGAUUCGACACAAGGGGAGCCAAAGAAUAUUCUCAAGUAUUAGCAACUGAGUUGUCAAUUCAGCCACACCUGGAUAACUUAAUAUCUGCAGCAAAGUAUUUAGUAGCAAAGUAAUAUGGAAGUAACGGUAACGGCAGCAAAAGUAAUAUUUUUGGGUUUUGUAGUGAUUGUAACAAUAGCAACAGAAAAGUAAAUAAGCGAAGAACAAUAUGUGAAAAGCUCGUAGGCAUUGGAUCGGUGAUGGAGAAUUAUGCCGGAUGCGGUUCAUCAUGUAACAACCAUAACAUAGGGUGACACAGAACUAGCUCCAAUUCAUCAAUGUAAUGUAGGCAUGUAUUCCGAAUAUAGUCAUACGUGCUUAUGGAAAAGAACUUGCAUGACAUCUUUUGUCCUACCCUCCCAUGGCAGCGGGGUCCUAAUGGAAACUAAGGGAUAUUAAGGCCUCCUUUUAAUAGAGUACCGGACCAAAGCAUUAACACAUAGUGAAUACAUGAACUCCUCAAACUACGGUCAUCAUCGGGAGUGGUCCCGAUUAUUGUCACUUCAGGGUUGCCGGAUCAUAACACAUAGUAGGUGACUAUAGACUUGCAAGAUAGGAUCAAGAACUCACAUAUAUUCAUGAAAACAUAAUAGGUUCAGAUCUGAAAUCAUGGCACUCGGGCCCUAGUGACAAGCAUUAAGCAUAGCAAAGUCAUAGCAACAUCGAUCUCAGAACAUAGUGGAUACCAGGGAUCAAACCCUAACAAAACAAACUCGAUUACAUGAUAAAUCUCAUCCAACCCAUCACCGUCCAGCAAGCCUACGAUGGAAUUACUCACGCACGGCGAUGAGCAUCAUGAAAUUGGUGAUGGAGGAUGGUUGAUGAUGACGAUGGCAACGGAUUACCCUCUCCGAAGCCCUGAACGGACUCCAGAUCAGCCCUCCCGAGAGAGUUUAGGGCUUGGCGGCGGCUCCGUAUCAUAUAACGCGAUAAAUCUUUCUCUCUGAUUUUUUUCUCUCCGAACACGAAUAUAUGGAGUUGGAGUUGAGGUAGGUGGAGCAACAGGGGGCCCACGAGGCAGGGGGCGCGCCCAGGGGGUGCAGGCGUGCCUCCCACCCUCGUGGACAGGUGGUGGGCCCUUUGGCCUUGAUUCUUUUGCCAAUAUUUUUAAUAUUUUCCAAAAAUAAGUUCUGUGGAGUUUCAGGUCAUUCCGAGAACUUUUGUUUCUGCACAUAAAUAACACCAUGGGAAUUCUGCUGAAAACAGCGUCAGUCCAGGUUAGUUCCAUUCAAAUCAUGCAAGUUAGAGUCCAAAACAAGGGCAAAAGUGUUUGGAAAAGUAGAUACGACGGAGAUGUAUCAGUCUUCACGAUCCGACCGAUCCUAGCACCGAACGUACGGCACCUCCGUGUUUAGCAGACGUUCAGCUCGAUGACGUCCCUCGUACUCUUGAUCCAGUUGAGGUCGAGGGAGAGUUUCGUCAGCACGACGGCGUGGUGAUCAUGAUGAUGAAGUUCACCGGCGCAGGGCUUUGCCUAAGCACUAGACGAUAUGAUCAAGGUCUGUAACUGUGGAGGGGGCACCGCACACGGCAAAAAUAUCAUCUUGGCUGUCUAUGGGGUGCCCCCCUCCCCCGUAUAUAAAGGAGGGGAGGAGGAGGCCAGCCGGCCCUAGGGGGCGCACCCAAGGAGGGGAGUCCUACUAAGACUCCAAGUCCUAGUAGGAUUCCACCAAGAGGGAGAGAGGGGGAAGGAAGGAGAGAGAGAGAGAGGGAGAAGGAAAGGGGGCGCCGCCCCCUUUCCCUUGUCCAAGUCGGACUGCAAGGGGAGGGGGCGCGCGGCCUGCCCUGGCUGCCCUCCUCUCUCUCCACUAAGGCCCAUGGUGGCCCAUUAGUUCCCCCGAGGGUUCCGGUAACCCCUCCGGCACUCCGGUUUUACCCGAAACCAUCCUGAACACUUCCGGUGUCCGAAUAACAUGGUCCAAUAUAUCAAUCUUUAUGUCUCGACUAUUUCGAGACUCCUCGUCACGUCCGUGACCUCAUCCGGGACUCCGAACAACCUUCGGUCGUCAAAUCACAUAAACUCAUAAUACAAAUCGUCAUCGAACGUUAAGCUUGCGGACCCUACGGGUUCGAGAACUAUGUAUACAUGAUAGAGACACAUCUCCGGUCAAUAACCAAUAGCGGAACAUGAAUGCUCAUAUUGGCUCCUACAUAUUGUACGAAGAUCUUUAUCGGUCAAACCGCAUAACAUCAUACGUUGUUCCCUUUGUCAUCGGUAUGUUACUUGCCCAAGAUUCGAUCGUCGGUAUCACCAUACCUAGUUCAAUCUCGUUACCGGCAAGUCUCUUUACUCGUUUCGUAAUGCAUCAUCCCGCAACUAACUCAUUAGUCACAUUGCUUGCAAGGCUUAUAGUGAUGUGCAUUACCGAGAGGGCCCAGAGAUACCUCUCCGACAAUCGGAGUGACAAAUCCUAAUCUCGAUCUAUGCCAACUCAACAAACACCUUCGGAGACAACUGUAGAGCAUCUUUAUAAUCACCCAGUUACGUUGUGACGUUUGAUAGCACACUAAGUGUUCCUCCGGUAUUCGGGAGUUGCAUAAUCUCAUAGUCAUAGGAACAUGUAUAAGUCAUGAAGAAAGCAAUAGCAAUAAACUAAACGAUCAUAGUGCUAAGCUAACGGAUGGGUCUUGUCCAUCACAUCAUUCUCUAAUGAUGUGAUCUAGUUCAUCAAAUGACAACACAUGUCUAUGGCUAGGAAACUUAACCAUCUGUAACAUCCCAAUUUUCAAUUUGGAUGUUAUACAUAGGUCAUCAUAUGCAUAUCAUUUUUUAUCUGCAUUUUUGGUUGUGAUCCUAGAAAUCUUAAGCAACUCAAGGACCCAAGGAGAGAGUUGCGGAUUUCAUUUUUUUCAUAUUUCAAUUUUCUCAAAUUUGAAAAGAGGAUCAAUUUGGUUUUAAUAAUUUUUUCUCUCCAAAUAUUUCUUAUAUUAAAACAAAACAGAGAAGAUAAUAUGACUUCUUCAAAGAGAGAGGAAUAUUGGAGGAAAAAUUUUAAAAUCAAAUAAAUAUUUUAUUUGGAUUUUAUUGCUUUUUUAUUUGAAUUAGAAAAAUAUGCAUUUUUUAAAAUUGCAUUUUUAGGCCAGAAAAAUGUUCACUUUGUUCUAAAUAUUUUAUUUAGACGGUGAAAAUUGUUUUUGGCAUUUUUAGAAUUUUUUUUAUUUUAUUAGGAUUUUCUUGGGUGGAAAUUUUUUUUUAGUUUCCGCCCGACUGGGCCGAAGGCCCAGCCGCGCCGCCUCCCACGCCGACUCGGGACGAGAGUCCCGAGGUUCGCCGCCGCCGUCACCGUGUCCGGCUCGGACACGAGCCGCCGCCGCCUCCUCCCGCAAGGCCAGCCCCCCGGCCCCUUUAUAUAUCGCCCCCCUCUCCUCCCCAAGCCGCCGCCGCCGCUCCCGCUGCACGCCGCCCCGCGCCGCCGGAGCCGCCGCCCCGCACCAACGCUGCCACCCGUGCCGGAUCCCGCCGGAGCCACCGCCCGCCGCCGUUGACCUGCCGCACGUUGACCGUUAUAAAAACUACUCCGGUUCGCCCGUUCACUUCAGUUUUCUCGGUUUUUCUUGAUCGGAUCUUUUUAGCGAACGUUCACCUGAACGCCUCUGUUCGCGAACACGUUCGUUCGUUCGUGUCUGAUAGCGAACGUUCGUUUGUUAGUCUUUUCUUUUUAUUUUAUUUUCAGCCAGGACCUAUCCGCGAUUAUUUUUAUCACAGAUUAGCCCCUAAUCUUCAAACCCUCGCAACUUCUUGCGCGUUUAUCCAAAUCCAGUGAAACCAACGCCAAAAUCUACGUCUCGAACCCCUCUUUAGAGUUAAUCAACUUGAACAUGGUUUUUAAAAAUUAAAAUUUGGUUUCAGGCAGAUUUGAAUUCGAACUUCUGUUGAUCGUAGUUUGAGUUUUCUAGCUCCGAUUUGAUUGAUUAUUUUUGCGAAUCGAAGCUCUUCAGUUGAUCUUUCAGUUGGGAUCUUUUAUUUGAGUUUUACCUUUGCAUCUAUGCUUGAGUGCUUAUGUAUGCUAUCGUUUUUUUGCGAUAGAAUUUCCGCAGUGCGAAGCGUGCUACUACGAGUCACUAGGGUUUUCAGAUCGUCAGCAAGGCAAGUAAUACUUUGAUCAUGCCCCUUUAUUACCCAGUUUUUAUGCAUUAGUUAUACCCCUCAAACAUUGCAUGGUUAGGAUGUGUUAACAUAUGGGUAUUGGGAAGUAGUUGAUGAGGUAGAACCUAUUGUCUUUAUAUCAAACCCUGGGAGUUUACUUCUACAUUAUGCUUACACUGCUAUGCUAUGCUCGUAGACGUGGAUUGGUUGAGUGUAUCCAUGACAGAUGUGAGAGUUGUUAAUGAAUGGUUAACUUAAGGUGGCUACUUUAAUACACAUCUGGGUGGAUUGGUUGAGGCUCCCUGGAGCACCCAGUGGUUGCCUGGGCACCUGGAGCAAUCCAGCGCUGUCCUGGGAUAUCCCGGAGUACCCGUGUGAUCAUCCUGUGGUUCGCCACCAACGCUCAAAGGGAUCAUAAGAUUAUUCAUGCUAGAAACUUCCGUGUGCAGCCACAAGCCAUUAUGGGCUCUGGCAUAGUUGAGUAAGUUUUGGGAAACCUUUCCAUGAUGGGCUAGCAGAUGUAGGGGAUUGUAGGCGUACCGGCCUAUCUAUCGGUUAAGGGGACCUCUUUGGAAAGACUGUGUCUCGGUCAUCCAUUUCUCAAACACCAUGCAGUGCGAGAAAUACAAUGGAGGAGAUCGAGUCUUGUGGGUAAAAGUGCGCAAACCUCUGGAGAGUGUACAAACUAAUCAUGGUUAGCCGUGUCCCCGGUUAUGGACAUCUUGAGUAUCUGGUUCUGAAUUAUUGAUUUGAUCUCAUCACUCUUUUAAUUAACUUGUUGGGUUAUUAAUAUUUGUUUAAUUGGGAUUGAGUUGGAGGAACCUUCUUAAUAUUUUAUCAACCAACUUUGUAGCUAAAUAAAAUAUAUUCCUUUGGAGUAGGGAAAAAUUGACUUUACGCAAACAUGAAAACAAUAGAGCCUCCACCAGCCAUAUAUGCAUGUAGAUAUAGUUGUUAUCUUGUUCAUUGCUCUACAGUGUUAUUUUUCCAGCAUAUUCCAUGUGCUGACCCGUUUCGGGCUGCAACGUAUUAUGUUGCAGACUUUUCAGACGAAGAGUAAGGUGCGCUAGGUAGUUGUCGUGCACUCAGCUAUGCCAUUGGAGUUGAUGGACUCAUUUACCUUCGAUGCUUCCGUAGUUAUCUUAUUUAGAUGGCCUUAAGCCAUAUUAUUGUAAUAAGUUCUCUUUUGAGACAUUCGAUGUAAUAAGUGUGUGAUUGCACUUUGUUAUAAAUCCUUCAAGUACUGUGUGUGUCAGCAUUACCGAUCCAGGGAUGCCACUUAUGCACAGAGAUUUGACCAUUUGAGGUCGUGUCGCUACAAGAUGGUAUCAGGGCACACGCUGACUGUAGGACGCGACCACUAAGAUAAGCCAUAGGUCACUCUUCUCUACUCAUUCUAACUCUCCUCCAUUUUCCACUCUAUAGAUGGCGGACCCGAGGAACAAGUUUGCUCAACCGGAUGAAGACACACCAUUUGGACGACACUUGAAGGAAGUCACUAGGUACCUGAACAUCGGAAUACCAAGCUUCACCGGGACCUACACCGCCACUUUACCAGAAGAGGAGUGUUGGAUGAUUCGAGUUCAUGUUCCAGGAAGGACAUUCACGCCAGUUACCGAGCCCAUAGAGUUUUCCUUUGAUGCACCGACCUGGAGUCUAGGAAAGAGCAUGGCAGUCCACAUCGCCAUGGGACGCAUCGGCGAAGUACAUAACAAGGAUCUUAAGGACACCAUCUACCAGAUAUGUGGGCGCCGAGAUGAGCAAUGGGAGAUGAUCAGCACCAGGAGGGACAAGUCCAUUGCAGCUUUCAUCCAGGAGUUAAACCAGCAUAUUCGCCGCCAGGAGAACCAAAUGUGCGCCAACAUGAUAGAUCUAAAGAAGGUGAUGACCAGGAACAUGGAGCUUGAAGAGGAACUCAAGUCUACACGCGAUGGAUAUGAGGAGGAAAUCGUAGUGCUACUGGAGAAGAAUGAAGACCUAAGAAGAAGCUAGGAGUAUUCAUGGGAGACCCCGCGCCAGGAGAUGACGACCAUCCCGAGGACUACGUCAUCAUCGACGACACCGACCCCAACCCCAAUAGUAGUGAUGAUGAUUAUGAAGACGAAGCUGGAGCGGAUAUCAUGGAGUCUUCCACCGAUCAAAAUUUCUAGUCGACCACCAUAUUAUCAGUAGUAUUCCCCCAUGUAUAUAGUAGUAGUCCGAGUAUUUUGUAACGGUAGCUAGAUCGAUUGUAUGCCCUUGUUUGAAUUGACUGGUGUGAUAUGAAUGUGUUUGUUUCAUGUGCAUAUGGGUAGUGCUUUCUCUUUAGACCUCAUUCUAUUCUAAUCUCUCCCUCUAAACCCAUCAGAUGCCUCCGAGAUGUGACCCCGGAUUUGUCUUCCCACCGGAGCUCACUCAGUUGAUCCAACAACAGAAUGCCUUGAUGCAGUUGCUAGUCCAGAACCAAGGCAACAACAACGACAACAACAACAACAACAACCCACAGCCACCACCCCUAGUUGACAACUUAGCCUGUUUUCUGAGGUUGAAUCCACCGGUGUUUUCUAGUAGCACCGAGCCGAUAGUUGCAGAUGGUUGGCUAUGCAGGAUAGGAAGGGAGUUGACCACCGCAGGUUGCACAGAUGUUGAGAAGGUGCGUUUUGCCGCACACCAACUGGAUGGACCUGCAGCUUCAUGGUGGGAGAAUUACACAACCACUUUUCCCAUAGCCAAUGUCACAUGGGUUCAGUUUCAGCAAGCGUUCCGCACAGCCCAUGUCUCAACUGGAGCUAUGAACAUGAAGAAGCAUGAGUUUCGCAACUUACGCCAGGGAAAUCGUACUGUGGGUGUCGGAGUAAUAGGCAACGGAUACCCCGAAGACGGCGAGACAAUAAUUCAAGACAUCGGGGCUAGCAAAGCCCCUCAGUCCGACUGCCCGGCUGCUCCUGCCGGCUCCCCGUCCGACUGCUCUGCCCGGUCGACCAGCCGGCUGCCGACUGCGCCAACCAGCCGGCUGCCGGCUGCAGCCUGACCCGACACCAACAAGACACCGACGUGACGGCCAUACCGCGGACGAGACGGCUGUACCGCGACGACAUCAUCUACAGUGUAUCUGUCCUUGGGCACUGUUUUAUAAAGUGCACCAGGGACAAGGAGGCAUGCACAUCACGUCCACACCAUCAUGGGCAUGGUGCCCCAUGCCCACUUGCCUCCCACGCCACUACCUAGCUUAGGUAGUAAGCUAGCUCACCUAUAUAUAUGCCACCCAUCCAUCCAUCCACUCCAGGCUCACACACACGCAUGCAUCCAUGCCCACUCACGGUGGAGCUCUCUCAUGCCCACUUGUUAGCUAGCUCAUACACAUAUAUGAGACAUAUACAAAGCCAGAUGCCUAUGACACUGAGCUCAGAUACAGCUCCAGGAGCAACUCUGUACCAGAUAUACUACAGAUACUCAGACAUGCAGGAGUAAGGGUAUUAUCUCUCCGGAGAGCCCCGAACCUGGGUAAACUAGCGCGUGCUACUCGCAUACCCGCUCCCGGGCCUAUCAGUAGCAGUCUUACCCUCACACUAAGCCCUUGUGGCAUCUGUCGACUCGCAAGCCCCCCAUGAGAAUACCACGACAGUUGGCGCCCACCGUGGUGUGGUACUACUACUCUGCUACCACGCUGCUGCUGGUUUCACUGUCCGGGCGGGACCAUUUUCGUCUUCACCGCCGCGGCAUCGCGCCGUCUCUCCGAUAGCGGUCGGGGGCUCAACAUCGACAUGCCCCCGGAGUGGCCGCAAGGGGCGGCGUGCCCUCGCCGUCGGCUUUGCCAUCUUCGUCGUCACCGCGGCGUCGUCGUCGUCUCUCCGGUGGUGCUCGGGGGCUCGACUUCGACCCGCCCCCGGAGCGGCCGCGCGGGAUGGCGCGUCCUUGUCGUCGGCCUCGCCGCCUUCGUUAUCACCACCGUUGCAACGCCGGCCAUCUGACCCCGCGCGCGCGGGGCCUAGCUUCGGUCGGCCGUGUCCAUCCACGCGCCGCUCGCGUCGGCUCCCUUCCGCGCUGCGCCUUGCUCUGGCCGGAACGCGCAUUGGCUCUUCCACAUGCCAUCUAUGCAAGCUAGCUAGAUGCAAGUCAAACCAUUAGCCAAACACACCCCAGAUAAUGACCAUAUAUCGGUCAGACGAUGGCCGGACGUUGCACGUACUCCGGCUGCCUGUCACGACUCCAGCCCCCUGCGAGUCCGCUGCUCUCUGCGCCGCCGCCAACUGCUACUACUGCCUGCUGCUGCGAGCGCCGCUGCCGCUCCCACCCCCAGGCAGGCAGCACGGCUCCCCGAGCGGGCCUGGCCCCUGCGUGCUGCUCCGCCUCGUCCCACGCCAUGGCUGCCGCGCGUCUCAAGCCCCGCGCUGCUCCUUCCUGCAACCGGCGCGCCAUCGCCACCUGCUCCUGCUGCGGUCCGGCGUCUCGCCUCGUCCCGCGACCCGGACAGCCGCCGCUAGCGUGCCACCGGCCUGCGCGCCACUCCGCCGCUGCUCCUCUCCCGCGCCCCCGUCCGGCUCCGCGUGACCCAGGACGUCCGCCGCCGGCUCGUCGCCGCUCCGUCCGGCGUCCCGCAUCUCGGACACCCCUGCGCCGGCUCCCGCACAGCCCGGCCGGCUCCCUCCACCCGGCCGCGGCUCCUCCCGCCACUCGGCGUCCGACCUCCCGGAUCGCCCCCGCCGGCUCCGUCCAUCCACCUGGCCCCGCUUCCCCANNNNNNNNNNNNNNNNNNNNNNNNNNNNNNNNNNNNNNNNNNNNNNNNNNNNNNNNNNNNNNNNNNNNNNNNNNNNNNNNNNNNNNNNNNNNNNNNNNNNNNNNNNNNNNNNNNNNNNNNNNNNNNNNNNNNNNNNNNNNNNNNNNNNNNNNNNNNNNNNNNNNNNNNNNNNNNNNNNNNNNNNNNNNNNNNNNNNNNNNNNNNNNNNNNNNNNNNNNNNNNNNNNNNNNNNNNNNNNNNNNNNNNNNNNNNNNNNNNNNNNNNNNNNNNNNNNNNNNNNNNNNNNNNNNNNNNNNNNNNNNNNNNNNNNNNNNNNNNNNNNNNNNNNNNNNNNNNNNNNNNNNNNNNNNNNNNNNNNNNNNNNNNNNNNNNNNNNNNNNNNNNNNNNNNNNNNNNNNNNNNNNNNNNGGGCCGACUGCCGCGCCCAGCCGCCUGCCGGCUACAACGUGGCCGGUUGCUUGUGCAAAAGGGAAAAGGUCGGGUCCCCAGCCGGCCGCUGCUAAAAAAGAAAAGAGAGAGAGAGAGAGAGAGAGAGAGAGAGAGAGAAAGGGUCGAGUGCCCAAUCCGGCUGAAAAAGUCAAUGGCCGGCUGCUAGAAAAAAAUAAUUUUGUGUGCAUCCGGCUGCCUAGAUCCGGCCGAAGAAAAUGUCGGGUGCCCACGGUUGACUGGCAAAAAAAAGAGAGAGAGAGAAAGAAGUCGGCUGGGACAAAGAGAAGAAAAGAAACACCCGUCCGGAUGAUUCGUCCGCCUGCUUCGCCACUCGGACGGUCAGUCGUGACCCGCGUUGUCGGCAGUGCCAAGCCGACUGGUCUGCCUCCUGCUCCGACGGCACACCCAGCGGGUGCGCUGACGCGCCCCUGCGAAGAGAAGAGAAAGUAGUUGCCGGGAGAUCCGGCCUGACUGCUCAGCAGUCGGCCCGAAUCUCGGGGGCUACACCCAGCGGGUGCGCUGACGCGCCCCCGCGAAGAAGAAGACAAAGUAGUCGCCGGGAGAUCCGGCCUGACUGCUCAGUAGUCGGCCCGAAUCUCGGGGGCUACACCCAGCGGGUGCGCUGACGCGCCCCCGCGAAGAAGAAGACAAAGUAGUCGCCGGGAGAUCUGGCCCAACUGCUCAGCAGUCGGCCCGAAUCUCGGGGGCUACACCCAGCGGGUGCGCUGACGCGCCCCCGCGAAGAAGAAGAAAAAGUAGUUGCCGGAAGAUCCGGUCCGACUGCUCAGCAGUCGGCCUGAAUCUCGGGGGCUACACCCAGUGGGUGCGCUGGCGCGCCCCCAUGGAAGAUUGCAAGAAACAAAAACAAGAGAAGAAAGAAGAAAAAGGGCGCUGGCAGACGCCUCGCCGCCUGGCCGGCUGUGCCAAGCCGGCUCGGCCGCAUUCCGCUCGCUGCCUGGCCGGUCAGGCCCGACCGGCUGGACCCUCCUCGAGUGCCUAGAGGCUCGAGGGCUACACCCAGCCGGUGCGCCGACGCGCUCCGCGAGCGCCGAGCGGCGCCGGCUGUUUUCGACGACCUCCGCCUCGGCUGCACGAAAAUCAAUGUGAGCUCCUCACCCGCAUAUUUUUGCACCACGCAAGCACGGAUAACCCCGAGCGAUGCUCGGGGGACUAUCUCCGCAUUUUAUUACAGUUGCAGCACUGUUCGCCCCGGCGCCAGCCAGAGUUGGCCCGGGGGCUGGCCGCUUUACCUGAGACGUUUGUUCCCGCAGACAGCUUAGUAGCGUGCGCGGUACCAAAGGCCCACUCUUAGUCACAGACCGCAGAGCGGCUGUCCGGCUAGCAAGAGUGAACGCUGGAGGCCACCCACGCGAAAAAACGUCCGGGGAGAAAAACGGUUCGGGCGACCCGGCCGUUUUCUUUAUGAGUAUCUGCUCGCUUAAAUUCGCUCCCAGAGUCUGAGUAUUGUACACUCCACUCCGCGGCCCACUCUCAGCCACAGACCGCAGAGCGACUGUCCAGCAAGCGAGAGCACAAGCCAAAGAGCGGAGGGAACACGAAAAAGAUUGAAGGGGGCUCGGACGAAACCGAGUCGGCACCCUCCGCAUAAAACUUGCAAUGCUAAAAGCAAUCAUUUGAUAUAUCUGCGUGGACUAACUUUGUCUUUUUGCAUGAUCAUUUCCAUGAACACCCGCCAAAAAACCUCCGCCCAACUUUGCCAAGUUGCCCGGAGGCUUGGGGCUACUGUCGGAGUAAUAGGCCACGGAUACCCCCAAGAUGGCGAGACAAUAAUUCAAGACAUCGGGGCUAGCAAAGCCCCUCAGUCCGACUGCCCGGCUGCUCCUGCCGGCUCCCCGUCCGACUGCUCUGCCCGGCCGACCAGCCGGCUGCCGACUGCAGCCUGACCCGACACCAACAAGACACCGACGUGACGGCCAUACCGCGGACGAGACGGCUGUACCGCGACGACAUCAUCUACAGUGUAUCUGUCCCUGGGCACUGUUUUAUAAAGUGCACCAGGGACAAGGAGGCAUGCACAUCACGUCCACACCAUCAUGGGCAUGGUGCCCCAUGCCCACUUGCCCCCCACGCCACUACCUAUUUAGGUAGUAAGCUAGCUCACCUAUAUAUAUGCCACCCAUCCAUCCAUCCACUCCAGGCUCACACACACGCAUGCAUCCAUGCCCACUCACGGUGGAGCUCUCUCAUGCCCACUUGUUAGCUAGCUCAUACACAUAUAUGAGACAUAUACAAAGCCAGAUGCCUAUGACACUAAGCUCAGAUACAGCUCCAGGAGCAACUCUGUACCAGAUAUACUACAGAUACUCAGACAUGCAGGAGUAAGGGUAUUAUCUCUCCAGAGAGCCCCGAACCUGGGUAAACUAGCGCGUGCUACUCGCAUACCCGCUCCCGGGCCUAUCAGCAGCAGUCUUACCCUCAUACUAAGCCCUUGUGGCAUCUGUCGACUCGCAAGCCCCCCAUGAGAAUACCACGACAGUGGGGCAGUACAUGGAUGAGUUCAGUAAGUUAGCUCGCUAUGCCCCGGAUGAUGUGGCCACAAAUGCCGCGAAGCAGGAGAAGUUUAUGGAAGGGCUAAAUGAUGAGAUGAGUAUGCAGCUGAUGGUAGCAACAUUUGCUAACUAUCAGGGGUUGGUAGACAGGGCCCUUAUGAUUGAAGGGAAGCAGCAGCAGAUAGAGAGCCGCAAAAGGAAGUAUGGACAAGGGAAAUACAAUUCAGGAGCUCAAUAGAGACCUCAUUUUACCCCAAACUCGGGAGGAUAUACCCAUAACCAUGGAGGCCACACUCACAAUGGAGGAAGUUCGCAUAACCAUAGUGGCCCCAAGAAUGGGAAUGGGAAUGGAGGAAGCAGCAGCCAGAACCGUUCCAACCCCUCUACACCCGCCAAAAAUGAUCUAAGUCACAUUACUUGUUUUAGGUGCGGGAAGACUGGACACUACGCCACCGAGUGUUUUGAAGCCAAUUAUGGAAAUGGCAAUGGAAGCUCUAGGAAGAAGCCCAACCCUUUCAUCUGGGGACAGGUGAACCACGUUAACAUGGAGGAGGUUGAAGAACAGCCGGACACAUUUAUAGGUAAGUUUUUGAUUAAGUCAUUUAUUGCAAUCGUUCUUUCUGAUACUGGUGCAUCACAUUCAUACAUAUCAAGGGGGUUUGUGGAUAAGUAUAAGUUGCCCACCAAAGUUCUUAAGACACCUAUGUUAGUAAGCUCGCCAGGAGCGGAGUAUAUGGCAAGCAGAGGAUGUUUUCAGAUGCCAUUGACCAUAGGUAGGCAUGUUUUCCCCUCGGACCUAAUAAUUCUGGAGUCACAAUGAUUGGAUGUGAUACUAGGCAUGGAUUGGCUAUCGAUGUAUGGAGGAAACAUCGAUUGCGCCAGUAAGUCUAUUCUUCUCACCACCCCAAAGGGUAAACGGAUUAAGUAUGUGUCUCGGCAUGCGCCGAGGAGGACCCAAGUAAACUCGCUCUCAGGAGUCGUUCAGGAGGAAGUGCCCAUUGUGAAGGAUUACCCGGAUGUAUUUCCAAAGGAAUUACCAGGCAUGCCGCCAGAUCGAGACAUAGAGUUUUUGAUAGAACUGUUGCCAGGCACCGGACCAAUAUCAAAGGGACCAUACCGGAUGCCCGCAAAUGAUCUGGAGGAAAUUAAGAAGCAAUUAAGGAGUUAUUGGAGAAAGGUUACACUCGACGAAGUUCGUCACCGUGGGGAGCCCUAGUGCUCUUGGUUGAGAAGAAGGAUGGAUCUUUGAGAAUGGUUGUUGAUUAUCGUGCUUUGAAUGAAGUAACGAUCAAGAACAAGUACCCACUACCGAUGAUCAACGAUUUGUUUGACCAGCUGCAAGGAGCUAAAGUAUUCUCCAAGAUCAAUCUGCGAUCAGGAUACCAUCAGCUAAAGAUCCGAGAGCAUGAUAUACCUAAGACAGCUUUCACUACAAGGUAUGGGCUAUAUGAGUACACAGUCAUGUCAUUUGGAUUGACCAAUGCCCCCGCCUAUUUCAUGAGUAUGAUGAAUAGGGUGUUCAUGGAGUUCUUGGAUAAGUUUGUUGUGGUGUUCCUUGAUGAAAUUUUGGUAUACUCGAAGAAUGAAGAGGAGCACAAGGAGCAUUUGCGUUUAGUUCUCGAGAAACUCAGGGAACAUCAGCUAUAUGCCAAGUUCAGCAAAUGCGAGUUUUGGUUGAAGGAAGUUGGAUUCCUUGGACAUGUUAUAUCAGGAGAGGGUAUAGAAGUAGACCCUAGCAAGGUUAAAUCUGUUACCGAGUGGUUGGCACCCACCUCAGUAGGAGAGAUCCGCAGUUUUCUUGGACUCGCGGGAUAUUACCGGAGAUUCAUUGAGAAUUUUUCCAAGAUUGCGAAGCCCAUGACAGAGUUGUUGAAGAAGGACACCAAGUUCAAAUGGACAGAAGAUUGUGAGGCUAGUUUUCAGGAGUUGAAGAAAUGUUUGGUUACAUCACCAGUGCUAAUUCUGCCGGAUAUACACAAGGGUUUCCAAGCGUAUUGCGACGCUUCUCGCCAAGGACUUGGAGGUGUACUUAUGAAGGACGGAAGAGUUGUUUCAUAUGCCUCACGACAGCUUCGACCGCAUGAGUUGAAUUAUGCCCCACAUGAUUUGGAGUUAGCAGCCGUAGUGCAUGCGCUCAAGACCUGGAGACAUUUUCUUAUUGGAAACCGUGGUGAUGUGUACACGGAUCACAAGAGUUUGAAGUACAUUUUCACUCAGAAGGAGCUAAACCUCAGGUAGAGGAGAUGGUUGGAGCUUAUAAAGGAUUAUGAUAUGAAGCUGCAUUAUCAUCCAGGAAAGGCCAAUGUCGUAGCAGACACUUUGAGCCGGAAGAGUUAUGUCAAUACCCUCAUAAGUGGAGGAUUACCGCAGGAGUUAGUUGACGAUCUCAAGGAACUUCGUUUGGAGAUAGUUCCAAGAGGUUUUGUUGCAGCAAUGGAGGUUCAGUCUACAUUAUUGGGAAAGAUCCGAGAAGCUCAAAGGGAUGAUAAGGAGAUUGCUGAGAUAAAGGAGAAGAUGAGAAAAGGAAAAGCCAAAGGUUUUCGUGAGGAUAAGCACGAAACUUUAUGGUUUGAGGAUCGUGUUUAUGUGCCCAAUAAUGCGGAGAUCAGGAAGUUAAUACUUCAGGAGGCUCAUGAUUCGCCAUACUCGAUUCACCCCGGAAACAACAAGAUGUACUUGGAUUUGAAGGAGCGUUUCUGGUGGACAGGUAUGAAGAAGGAUAUUGUCGAGUAUGUUGCCGUAUGUGAUGUAUGUCAGAGAGUGAAGGCAGAACAUCAAAAGCCAGCACGAUUGCUACAGCCUAUGCCGAUACCCGAAUGGAAGUGGGACAAGCUUGGCAUGGAUUUCAUCACUGGAUUACCCAGGACCCGAUCAGUAUAUGAUUCUAUCUGGGUAGUAGUUGAUCGCUUGACCAAAGUGGCUCACUUUAUCCCAGUAAAAACCACUUACACGAGUGCGAAGUUGGCCAAGAUAUAUAUGACCAGGAUUGUAUGUCUGCACGGAGUUCUGAGGACCAUCAUAUCAGAUAGAGGAACACAGUUUACUUCAAAGUUUUGGAAUCAGUUGCACCAGACUUUGGGUACCAGGCUAGAGUUUAGUACAGCCUUUCAUCCGCAGACAGAUGGACAGACCGAGAGAGUCAAUCGGAUUCUGGAGGACAUGUUGAGAGCUUGUGCAUUAGACUAUGGAUCCAGUUGGGAUGGUAAUUUGCCCUACGCAGAGUUCUCAUACAACAACAGUUAUCAAGCUAGUUUGAAGAUGGCACCUUUCGAAGCUUUGUAUGGAAGAAGGUGCAGGACACCAUUAAUGUGGGAUGAAGUUGGAGACCGUCAGUUGUUUGGACCUGAUUUUAUCAAGGAGUCUGAAGAGAAGGUUAAGUUAAUUCGAGACAGACUGAAAGUAGCUCGGUCCAGGAAGAAGAGUUAUGCAGACACCAAACGCAAGGAGGUAGUCUACGAAAUCGGAGAUAGAGCAUAUCUUCGUGUGUCACCUCUGCGAGGAGUUAAACGAUUUGGAGUUAAGGGAAAGUUAGCCCCGAGAUUUGUAGGACCAUACCGAGUUUUGGAGCCUAUGGGAGAAGUGGCCUACAAGUUGGAGUUACCCGAAGGAUUGUCAGGAGUUCAUGAUGUGUUUCACAUUUCCCAGCUGAAGAAGUGCCAUGCAGAGAUGGUCGAUAUUCCUCUGAGAGAUACAGUGCCCCUGGAAGCCAUUCAGUUGGAUAGUGAUCUGGCCUACGAGGAGAAGCCCGUCAAGAUUCUCGAAUUUGCCAACCGAGUUACACGCAGCAAGGUUAUCAAGUUUUGCAAAGUUCAGUGGAGCCACCAUACCGAGGAUGAAGCCACCUGGGAACGAGAAGAAGACCUACGGAAAGACCACCCACACCUAUUUUCUAGCCAACCCGAUUCUCGAGGGCGAGAUUCAUCUUAAGGGGGGUAGGUUUGUAACAUCCCAAUUUUCAAUUUGGAUGUUAUACAUAGGUCAUCAUAUGCAUAUCAUCUUUUCUAUCUGCAUUUUUGGUUGUGAUCCUAGAAAUCUUAAGCAACUCAAGGACCCAAGGAGAGAGUUGGGGAUUUCAUUUUUUUCAUAUUUGAAUUUUCUCAAAUUUGAAAAGAGGAUCAAUUUGGUUUUAAUAAUUUUUUCUCUCCAAAUAUUUCUAAUAUUAAAAUAAAAGAGAGAAGAUAAUAUGACUUCUUCAAAGAGAGAGGAAUAUUGAAGGAAAAGUUUUAAAAUCAAAUAAAUAUUUCAUUUGGAUUUUAUUGCUAUUUUAUUUGAAUUAGAAAAAUAUGCAUUAUUUACAAUUGCAUUUUUAGGCUAGAAAAAUGUUCACUUUGUUCUCAAUAUUUUAUUUAGACGGUGAAAAUUGUUUUUGGCAUUUUUAGAUUUUUUUAUUUUAUUAGGAUUUUCUUCGGCGGAAAUUUUUAUUUAAAAAAAGUUUCCGCCCGACUGGGCCGAAGGCCCAGCCGAGCAGGCCGGCCCAGCCGCGCCGCCUCCCCCGCCGACUCGGGACGGGAGUCCCGAGGUUCGCCGCCGCCGUCAUCGUGUCCGGCUCGGACACGAGCCGCCGCCGCCUCCUCCCGCAAGGCAAGCCCCCCGGCCCCUUUAUAUAUCGCCGCCCCGCCGCCCUCUCCUCCCCAAACCGCCGCCGCCGCCCCACACCAACGCCGCCGCCCGCGCCGGGUCCCGCCGGAGCCGCCGCCCGCCGCCUGCUGACCGGUAUAAAAACCGCUCCGGUUCACCGGUUCACUUCGGUUUUUCUCGGUUUUUCUCGAUCGGAUCGUCUUAGCGAAUGUUCACCCGAAUGCCUCUAUUCGCGAACACGUUCGUCCGUUCGUCUCUGAUAGAGAACGUCCGUUUUUUAGUCUUUUCUUUUUAUUUUACUUUCGGCCAGGGACCUAUCCGUGAUUAUUUUUAUCGCAGAUUAGCCCCUGAUCUUCAAACCCUCGCAACUUCUUGCUCGUUUAUCCAAAUCCAGUGAAACCAACGCCAAAAUUUCCGUCUCGAACCCCUCUUUCCAGUUAAUCAACUUGAACAUGGUUUUGACUAACUAAAAUUUGGUUUCAAGCGGAUUUGAAAUCGAACUUCUUUUGAUCGCAUUUGAGUUUUGUAGCUCCGAUUUGAUUGAUUCUUUUUGAGAAUCGAAGCUCUUCAGUUGAAAUUUCAGUUGGGAUCUUUUAUUUGAGUUUUACCUUUGCAUAUAUGCUUGAGUGCUUAUGUAUGCUAUUGUUUGUUUGCGAUAGAAUUACCGGAGUGCGAAGCGUGCUAGUACGAGUCACUAGGGUUUUCAGAUCGUCAGCAAGGCAAGUAACACUUUGAUAAUGCCCCUUUAUUACCCAGUUUUUAUGCAUUAGUUAUACCCCUCAAACAUUGCAUGGUUAGGAUGUGUUAACAUGUGGGUAUUGGGAAGUAGUUGAUGAGGUAGAACCUAUUGUCUUUAUAUCAAACCCCGGGAGUUACUUCUACAUUAUGCUUAUACUGCUAUGCUAUGCUCGUAGACAUGGAUUGGUUGAGUGUAUCCAUGACAGAUGUGAGAGUUGUUAAUUAAUGGUUAACUUAAUGUGGCUACUUUAAUACACAUCUGGGUGGAUUGGUUGAGGCACCCUGGAGCACCCAGUGGCUGUCUGGGCACCUGGAGCAAUCCAGCGCUGUCCUGGGAUAUCCCGGAGUACCCGUGUGAUCAUCCUAUGGUUCGCCACCCAGGCUCAAAGGGAUCAUAAGAUUAUUCAUGCUAGAAACAUCCGGGUGCAUCCACAAGCCAUUAUGGGCUCUGGCAUAGUUGAGUAAGUUUUGGGAAACCUUUCCAUGAUGGGCUAGCAGAUGUAGGGGAUUGUAGGCGUACCGGCCUAUCUAUCGGUUAAGGGGACCUCUUCGGAAAGACUGCGUCUCGGUCAUCCAUUUCUCAAACACCAUGCAGUGCGAGAAAUACAACGGAGGAGAUCGAGUCUUGUGGGGAAAAGUGCGCAAACCUCUGUAGAGUGUACAAACUAAUCAUGGUUAGCCGUGUCCCCGGUUAUGGACAUCUUGAGUAUCUGGUUCUGAAUUAUUGAUUUGAUCUCAUCACUCUUUUAAUUAACUUGUUGGGUUAUUAAUAUUUGUUUAAUUGUGAUUGAGUUGGAGGAACCUUUUGUUGGGGAAUGUAGUAAUUUCAAAAUUUUCCUACGCACACGCAAGAUCAUGGUGAUGCAUAGCAACGAGAGGGGAGAGUGUUGUCCACGUACCCUCGUAGACCAAAAGCAGAAGUGUUAUGACAACGCGAUUGAUGUAGUCGUACGUCUUCACGAUCGACCGAUCCUAGUACCGAACGUACGGCACCUCCGCGAUCUGCACACGUUCAGCUCGGUGACGUCCCGCGAACUCACGAUCCAGUAGAGUGUCGAGGGAGAGCUUCGUCAGCACGACGGCGUGAUGACGGUGAUGAUGAAGGUACCGGCGCAGGGCUUCGCCUAAGCACUACGACAAUAUGACUGAGGUGGAUUAUGGUGGAGGGGGGCACUGCACACGGCUAAGAGAUCAAUGAUCAACUUGUGUGUCUCUGGGGUACCCCCUCCCCCGUAUAUAAAGGAGUGGAGGAGGGGGAGGGCCGACCCUCCACUAUGGCGCGCCCUGGGGAGUCCUACUCCCGGUGUUCCCCCUUCCAUGUAGUAGGAGUAGGAGAGAAGGAAGGAGGAGAGAGGGUGAAGGAAAGGGGGGCGCCCCCCCCCCCUUCCUAGUCCAAUUCGGACCAGAGGGUGAGGGGCGCGCGGCCUGCCCUGGCCGCCCCUGUCUCUCUCUCCACUAAGACCCAUAUGGCCCAUUAAACUACCCGGGGGGUUCCGGUAACCCCCCGGUACUCCGGUAUAUGCCCGAACUCACUCGGAACCCUUCCGGUGUCCAAACAUAGUCAUCCAAUAUAUCGAUCUUUAUGUCUCGACCAUUUCGAGACUCCUUGUCAUGUCCGUGAUCAUAUCUGAGACUCCGAACAACCUUCGGUACAUCAAAACACAUAAACUCAUAAUACCGAUCGUCAUCGAACGUUAAGCGUGCGGACCCUACGGGUUCGAGAACUAUGUAGACAUGACCGAGACUCAUCUCCGGUCAAUAACCAAUAGCGGAACCUGGAUGCUCAUAUUGGCUCCUACAUAUUCUACGAAGAUAAUUAUCGGUCAAACCGCAUAACAACAUACGUUGUUCCCUUUGUCAUCGGUAUGUUACUUGCCCGAGAUUCGAUCGUCGGUAUCUCAAUACCUAGUUCAAUCUCAUUACAGGCAAGUAUCUUUACUUGUUCUAUAAUGCAUCAUCCCGCAACUAACUCGUUAGUCACUUUGCUUGCAAGGCUUAUAGUGAUGUGCAUUAUCGAGAGGGCCCAGAGAUACCUCUCCGACAAUCGGAGUCACAAAUCCUAAUCUGGAUCUAUGCCAACUCAACAAGUACCAUCGGAAACACCUGCAGAGCACCUUUAUAAUCACCCAGUUACGUUGUGACGUUUGGUAGCACACAAAGUGUUCCUCCGGUAUUCGGGAGUUGCAUAAUCUCAUAGUCAUAGGAACAUGUAUAAGUCAUGAAGAAAGCAAUAGCAAUAUACUAAACUAUCAAAUGCUAAGCUAACGGAAUGGGCCAAGUUAAUCACAUCAUUCUCUAAUGAUGUGAUCCCGUCAAUCAAAUGACAACUCAUGUCUAUGGCUAGGAAACUCAACCAUCUUUGAUUCAACGAGCCAGUCAAGUACAGGCAUACUAGUGACACUCUGUUUGUCUAUGUAUUCACACAUGUACUAAAUUUCCGGUUAAUACAAUUCUAGCAUGAAUAAUAAACAUUUAUCAUGAUAUAAGGAAAUAUAAAUAACAACUUUAUUAUUGCCUCUAGAGCAUAUUUCCUUCACCUUCUCAAUAUUUUAUCAACCAACUUUGUAGUUAAAUAAAAUAUAUUCCUUUGCAGUAGGGAAAAUUGGCUUUACGCAAACAUGAAAACCAUAUAGCCUCCACCAGCCAUAUAUGCAUGUAGAUAUGGUUGUUAUCUUGUUCAUUGCUCUACAGUGUUAUUUUGCCAGCAUAUUCCAUGUGCUGACCCAUUUCGGGCUGCAACGUAUUACAUUGCAGACUUUUCAGACGAAGAGUAAGGUGCGCUAGGUCGUUGUUGUGCACUCAGCUAUGCCGUUGGAGUUGAUGGACUCAUUUACCUUCGAUGCUUCCGCAGUUAUCUUAUUUAGAUGGCCUUAAGCCAUAUUAUUGUAAUAAGUUCUAUUUUGAGACAUUCGAUGUAAUAAGUGUGUGAUUGCACUCUGUUAUAAAUCCUUCAAGUACUGUGUGUGUCAGCAUUACCGAUCCAGGGAUGACACUUAUGCACAGAGAUUUGACCGUUUGAGGUCGGAUCGCUACACCAUCUUUGAUUAACGAGCUAGUCUAGUAGAGGCAUACUAGGGACACUCUGUUUGUCUAUGUAUUCACACAUGUACUAAGUCUCCGAUUAAUACAAUUCUAGCAUGAAUAAUAAACAUUUAUCAUGAUAUAAGGAAAUAUAAAUAACAACUUUAUUAUUGCCUCUAGGGCAUAUUUCCUUCAGCGUUGGCGUGUCAUACGACCGCGCAUACGAGCGUCUGCGCUUGUAUGCUAGGCUGGCUUGUAGGACCACGCGCAGGGCCUCCUUCUUUCUCCCAUUGCUUCGUUCUUUUUAUGGUAGUUAAUUAUCUCAUUGAAUAACGUGAUUCCACCAUAAAUUCCUAGGAUUCCUUCCAAAGAGCUUUAUUUAUUCCAAAAGACGUUUCCUAGGAAACUGACAAAAAGCAAAGCGCGAACGUAAUAAUAUUCCACAAAGCCUACCAUGUAGGCACAAAAUAAUUAUCAAAAUUGUCAUACAUUUUGGACUCAUCAUAAGCCAUGAACAUAUAUGCUCCCUUUGGUAGUCAAUUGAUGGGAUAUGAAACUAACUUCAUAGUCUAUAUGUGGUCAAAUGGCACCUUGUGGAUUGUCACUGAAAAUGAAAAAUAAAUAUAUUAUUUUUUCUACACUUUGUUCCUUCUGAGCUAUUACAAUGAUAAUUGGAUAGCCAUUUAGCUGCACUAAUAGGCCAGUAGCUAUCGAUGGAAUUUAAGUCCCUAACAAGAAGAUAUAAAUGGCAAAGUGCCUCUAUGCAUUUGGUUUGCAGUCGUUCUCAGGGCAUCCACAGUGUGAGUAUUUUUUGCCUCCAAGUCUAUAAGGGUUGCCUCUAUACAUUUCAUCCUCAGUUUCUAAGCAAAAGAAGCUUUAUAUCUAGAGCCAUCUGACAACUUUAUGGAGCAAGGUUGCAGCAGAGUACUAUACCCUAUCGAUGCACUCUGUUCCUCUCUCCCACCUACUUUUCUUACUCCCACACACUAGUAUAUGAAUUUUAUUUUCAACCUUAAACUUCAAAAAACCAUAUAUUUUAAAAUAUAGGAUAAACAAUCCAUAUAAAGGUGUGUCUUACUUUCAACGAUAUCUUUGAAACAAGUUCACUAUUUAAUACUCCCUCCGUUCGAAAAUAACUGGAGUGGUUUUAACUAAAACACGUCAGUUAUUUCUGAGUAGAGGUAAUAUGUUUUAAUAGUUUUGAAUUUUGAAUUUUUGAAAUACAGUGAAACAUAUGCGAAAUGGAUUAUUACAUGAUGGUUUUUGCAUGGACAUAUAACUACGUUAUGUUCUUGGACACAUUAGUAAGUUUAAUAACGAUGGAAAGUAACUUAUGCAAAUUGGUCUAAAACAAGUCUAACAAUCAUAGUUUUUAUUGUUUCAUCAAGUUUUCAAAUUUAUAUUUCGAAAUGAUGAAAUAUAUUCAUGGUUAGUCUUGUUGAAAAGAUCUCCUCGCCAGAAACGCAAAUAUAUAAGUCAUAAAUCAAAAUUUUCUUUAAAAACUACUACGGUUUCAAAUUUGAGGCUGAACAUAAAAUGCAUGGGCGAAUUAAGGAGGGAGAGGGGGAGAAUCUGGGUAGGGGGUAUGGUGGAGCAUGUGUGUUGGCUGUCAUAAUGGAGUUAAUGGUGAUGCCAUGCACGGGAUCGCGAAAAAAGCCGGUCUCCACAUACACCGCCUCGCCGAUUCAUGAGGUGGUUUGGACGGCGUGGGCACUAGCCAAGAUCAAGUUGUUCGCGUGGCUACUCUCCAUCAACAGGUUGCUCACCGCCGACCGGCUCAUGGCAAGGCAGUGGUGGAACUGUUAUUUUAGUCCUUGUGUAGGCGAAACCUCGAAACCAAUGUCCAUCUCUUCCAGGAGUGUCCUUGGGCUCGUGAGCUGUGGAAGAGUGUUGCGUCAAGAUUCAACCUGCUAUCACUCGAUCCCACCAACUCGAAAGACGCGGGCGGCACCGCUGAUUGGCUAACAAACCUCGUUGCGACUUCGCCCCACCAGAACCGUGCCCGAUCCAUGGCAAUCCUGGUCGCAUGGUCAAUCUGGAACGAGCAAAAUGGUAGAAUCUUCAGGAGCAUUGAAUGCACAUUGCAAGCGGUUCUUGGGGUCAUUUGCGACGAGGUCAUGGCCUGGCAGAUGGCUGGGGAAACACUUGAUGCUGCGAGAGUAGACCGGCGCAUAGUCUCCGUUUUCUAGUUUUCCCCUUUUCCUUUCAUUUCUUCUUCCUUUUGGCAAGCUCGCUCGUCUUUGUACAGUGGGCGCUCUUCCGCCGUUUACCUCUUAUAAUGCAAACACAGUUCUCUUGCGCUUCCUCAAAAAUAUACAACACCAUAAAUUCGAUUACUUAGCAUGCAUAAUCAAGUUAGUAUCUCCUUCCUUAUUUUUGGUUAGGAUUAGGAUUUCGUUCUUUGUGUAUAUACAUAUUUACUACUAGUAGUUUUUUACUCUCUUAUACUAAGAGAACGGGACCUGGUCUGAUCCUUCCUAUAUGUAACUGUGUUUGUCAUGACUGACAAAGAUACCCUACGGCAUUGCAUUGCAUUUUUUUGUAAGACAUAUUUGAACUAGCUUAGUUCCUCCAAUAAUUAUUAGGAGUACUGUAUUGUUUUUCUCACCGAUUCUUCUUGUUACUGUUUUGUGGUAGAGAGGAAUAAGGGGGUGUUUGGUUUCAGGUUUUUUUUUGUGUUGGGACUAGAAAAAGUUCCUAGCAAACCAAACAGGGUGGGACUUUUUUGAGACUUUUUGCUAAAAGUCCUUAGAAGCACCUCCUUGAGAGUCUUUUUCAGAAAGUCCUAGGACUAGAGAACCAAACAUCACCUAAAUAUCCCGUUGUACUACUCCAUCCAUGCAUCAUUGAGUCUUGCUUACAUUGCUGCGAUCGAAGAGUUUUGUCCCCGGCAUAUUGUGAAAUGGAAUGUUUGCAACAUUCAUAUUGAUAGAAAAUGCAGGGCAUUUCAUUUGGCCUAGAAAUAAGCCAACAAAAAGUUAGGGAUUCUUUUUACUCAAAAAUCUCUAUAUCAGUUUAAAAAACGUAAGAAUCUAUCAUACGUGAAAAUUACAAUAUUGGGUAUAUUGUAAAGAUGGUAAUUGUCUGUUCCCAUUGCAAAGCACGGAUACUCGUCUAGUCUCUACUACUUAAAAAAACAUAAGGUUACAUGUUGCACUUUUCUUCUCACCACUCAUUCGUCUAACCUUUCUAGUAUGAUAAUCAACCACCUUAAUUUACUGAGUGUAUCGUUUCUGCACCCAGGCUCGGCUGCACCUGAUGAUGAAUAGUAAAAUUGAAAAAUAGCAAAAAUAUUCCAAAAAAUUGAAUUUUUUUACACAUGAAAGUUGAGAGAAUCUUCUAGGUGCGUGCCAAAUUUCAAGGUGUUUGGACAUUUGAGAAGCUCGUGGCAAAAAUAAAAAAUUUGGCUUGUCAAAGAAACUUUCAAAAAGUGCACUGUGUAGACCGAUCUUUUCUACCACGAGCUCGUGAAAUUUCCAAACACCUUGAAAUUUUGCACGCACCUAGAAAAUUCUCUCAUCUUUCAUGUGUAAAAAGUUCAUCUUUUUUGAAUUUGUUUGCUAUUUUUCGAAUUUACUGUUCACUGAGAGCAGGUGAACCUGGGCACCGUUUUCAAUUAUCAUAAUUUACUUACCUUCCGAACCAAUUCCAUUUUAAUUUAUUUAUCAAAUUUCUCAUCAAAAUAUAAGGUAAAUCAGGGACAGGAUUUACUAAACAUUUAUUUACAGAAUCACAUUAAUAUGGACAGGCAAAUCACAAGGUGGCAUACUUGAAUAUUAUAUCCAGUUGCAAUCUCACGGCUGAAAAAAAAAGAAAAAAAAAGCAGGACACUAAAGAAUAGACAGCCUUUUCUCACAGGGAUAUUUUUGUUGUCCAACUGACAAACUCGUCCGGCCACGCAUUUAUUGAAUUCAGUGUCUCCUGAGAUGGUGACACGAAAUUCAAUGGUGCCGACUAUAUGAAAAGUCAAGGAGUACGUUUGUGCUUGCGUAUGCUGCGCUCCGAGAUCAAUCAGCACAGGGUUUCGCAUUUCCAAAAGAGAUCAGCACAAGAAACAGCUGGGAUAUUUGGCUCAUUCGGAUAAGAACUUUCUAGUGCAUGCAUGGAUGCAUCUUUGUUAAACUAAUGUUUUCUGGUGUACUGACGUCCAUGCAUCUUGUUCUUCUUCUCAGUUCUCACUUCCAUGUUUUGCUGCGUGUUUGUGUUGUCUGCUGGAAGAGAACAAACUUUACGCCGUGAGUCAUGAUCCAAACCAUGUGCGCUCCAACGGGAGCUACCGAGCUCGUGAAGAUACCGCCAUGCACUACCCCACUGGUGGGCUCGCAUCCCUAGACGGUCAGCAUUCUUCUACAUUCUUCUGCAGCGCCUAUAAAUUCGAUCGACGAGCCGCUACACCCGUAGCAGCUACGUCCCUAUGGGAAGCCCCAGCAACGACAAACCUAUUCCUGGCCUGCACCAGCUGCCACGGCCAGCCAUGGACAGAGGCAAGACCAAGGCCGACCCCCAUGCCGUGGCUGUUGCCGCCAAGCCGGACCUGCAGGACGACAGCGAGUCCGAGUCAGAUUCAGAGUCUAUCGAGAUCGCGGACCUCAAGAAGCGCAUGUGGAAGGACCAGUUGCUUCUCAUGAAGCUCGAGGGCAGUCCGGGCCAUGACCGGAGAGCAAUAGCGCAGGGGCCGGGGACGGACCUGGCCCAAGCAGAGAAAGAGGCAGAGAUGCCCGAGUCACGGUACCGCCGCAAGGCGAUGCUCCGGGCGCAGGAUGGUGUUCUCCGGCACAUGCUCAGGAUGAUGGAAGCGUGCAACGCGCGGGGGUUCGUGUACGGCAUCGUGGACGAGACCGGCAUGCCCGUGUCCGGCUCCUCCGACAGCCUCCGCGGCUGGUGGAAGGAGGACGUUGGGUUCGAGCGGACCGGGCCGACGGCCCUGGCCGGUCCGUCGACGGCACUCGAAAGCCCGGGGUCGUCGUUCCUCCACGGGCUCCUCGACAUCCAGGACAGCACACUGGGGUCUCUGCUCUCGGCGCUGAUCCAGCACUGCGAGCCCCCGCAGCGGAGCUUCCCGCUGGACAGGGGACUGCCGCCGCCGUGGUGGCCGACGGGCCAGGAGGUCUGGUGGGGCCUGCAGGGCAAGACCCAGGCCCAUCAGGGUCCGCCGCCGUACCGGAAGCCCCACGACCUGAAGAAGGCGUGGAAGAUCUCCCUGCUGAGCGCGGUGAUUAAGCACCUGAGCCCGCGCUUCGACCAGAUGCGCAAGCUCGUGUGGCAAUCCAAGCGGCUGCAGCAUAGGAUGAGCGCCAGGGACGCCGAGACCUGGUCCAGGGUCAUCACCCAGGAGGAGGCGCUCGACCGCCACGUGCAGCGCGCCCUGCGGAUCACGCCGCUCGAUGAGGAGGACGACGACGACGACAAGGAGCCGCGGGAAGCGGAACGCGACCUUCACGUCGACAAGCGCAAGCGAGAGGUCGGAAACGAGAGCGCGGGAGGAAAUGUCGACAGUGGCAGUGGCCGGGAGCUGGUUGCGCUGCCGGGCAUUGACGUCGUAGCGGAGGCGGACCGCAACUCCAUCGACGAGCUCAUGAUGAUGUACUACAGCUGUCUGCAGGGAACAGACGGUGGUGAGCAGGAGAUCAAGGACGUGGUUGCUGGAGGUGGGGAGCAGAACAAUACCUCUUGUGCUGAGACCGGCGUACUGGACGCGGCGACGGUGCGCGAUGACAUGUUCGACGAUUUCUUGAGCGUUGCCGAUGUGGUGGACACGAGUGACUUCCCGGGCAGUCCGAUCUGGCACCGGGGGAGUUCGGAUUUGGAUUAGUGGGUUAAAAGUUACAGUUUUGCUAAAACACAUUUAAGAGCAUGGCUAAUAGAAGAGCCCACUGCCGGCUCUAUACCCAUGCCACAUUAUUAAGAGCCUUCAUGCAAGAAUGCUUAGACUAGCCACAAUAGGCAGUAACAUAGAGUAGUAACAUGAGCAUGUUACUACUCUAUGUUACUAUCUCUAUAGUGGGAAGUAACAUAUGUGUAGUAACAUGCAACACUUCAUUUAUUAUGCUAUAGACUCAUCUUGCCUUGAUAUGUGUGAUGUUACAGUAACUAGCUAAGUUACUAGCAGUGGCGGACCCAGAAAUUCAAGUUAACCGGGGCGAACAUUGAACGUCUAAUUUUUUCGGUACAAAUGCAACUCUAUUCAACUAGAACUCAUAACAUUCAACAACAAAAGCAUACAAAAGGUCUUCAAAACUACCCCUCUGAUCCAUAUUAUUGUUCUAAAUCGGCGACAACUAAGAGCAACUCUAGCAGACCCUGCAAAAAGCCCCGUAAAAUAACCGCCAAAAUGUGGGUCGGCGCGGAAAAUCCCGCCCGAACAGACACCGCUAACGUGCCGGCCCGCAAAAAAAUUUGAGGGACGCGGCAAAAACNNNNNNNNNNNNNNNNNNNNNNNNNNNNNNNNNNNNNNNNNNNNNNNNNNNNNNNNNNNNNNNNNNNNNNNNNNNNNNNNNNNNNNNNNNNNNNNNNNNNNNNNNNNNNNNNNNNNNNNNNNNNNNNNNNNNNNNNNNNNNNNNNNNNNNNNNNNNNNNNNNNNNNNNNNNNNNNNNNNNNNNNNNNNNNNNNNNNNNNNNNNNNNNNNNNNNNNNNNNNNNNNNNNNNNNNNNNNNNNNNNNNNNNNNNNNNNNNNNNNNNNNNNNNNNNNNNNNNNNCCCUCUCCCCCUCGCCCCGCCGCUGGGCCGCCGCCCAAGAUUCCGGCGGGAGCACGCCGAAAGGCCGCCACAUGAGGUUGCCCUCCGUCCCCCCCCCCUCCUGAGUCGGCGGGCCGGAAAGUUGCGGAUCUACGGCCCUUCAUCGCGAGCCGCCGGAUUUGGCUUUUCCGGCCGCCGGUGGCUGCGCCAAGCGAUGAAAUGGUCGGGGAGCAUCAUGUGCAGUCCCGGCAAGGUCGCAUCGCCGCAUGCAGGUACGGGUUCGUCCUCCCACCGCCGCUGACGGUUUGCGGGCAUGGAUUCGGCCGACCGUCCACCGGGCUCGGUGCUCGCGCAGCGGCUCUGUGGCUUGCCGAUGCCGCUCAUACAGUGCGAUGACUGCACGCGGACAGUGCUGCGGCUAACUUCGGGCAUGCCCAAGCACCCCGGAUGGGUGUUCUUCAAAUGCGAAAACGACAGGGUACGUGUUGUUUUCAUUCGGCUUAUUUUGAUAGCCCAUUCUUUGUUUCAAUUGCGGUAGCUCAUGUCGAACAUCAUCAUGUGUGUAGGCAGAUGGAUGCUCAUUUUGGUUUUGGGAAGGCGAAUACAUUGAUUUAUUGAUAGAAAGAAACUUAAUAGACGUUCGUGCGCUCCUUAGUAGAAUCGAAGGCAAUGAUGCGGCUGCAUGUACAACUAGAGGGGAAGCAACGUCUACUUCUUUCGAACCAAAGAUGAAGAAAGAAGAAUGCAAAAUCAAGAAUCCACAGAUCAAUAACGAAUGCAUGGAGAAGAUAUUAGUCCAACUAGUGGGAGCAGUUAUGGAAGUUGGAAAUCUUCUAAAAUGCAUACUUGUGGUUCUUGUUUUUUUUGGUCUUGCUAUUCUAGCAAAGAUUUGGUGAUGUCUUAUGUAUCCAAUGGAUCGGAGGGAGUAGCAAACUACUGACAUGGACUCUUGUCGCUUGAAAUGCUGACUUGAUGCCACAAUAAGAUCCCAUAAUUUCAAAUGAGACCUACAAAAUUAUGAAUGUAUUAGCACAAGUGUGACGGUGUACUUGCACAAAGAACACGGGGAUGUAUAUUUUGAUAUGAUCAUAUGAUUAUAGUAUACCUUUAAGUCUGGCAGCGGCGCAACACGCCAAUUGGGGAUUUUUUUUGUUUGAGGAGAGUUGUCGAUUGAGCACUUGGGCCUGUAGUAAACGUAGCCCAGUACACUAGUCCAGCCCAAAUCUACUUCUCCCUCGUAGCUCAUAUCCCUUGACGCAGUCACGCAGAACAGCGCCGCCGCCACAAUGAAUCGCUCGCUGCUUGCUGUCUGACACAUGCCGGAGGAAACAGGAGGAAGGAUAUGUAGGGGUGCCGAUUUUUCCACCGCCGGCGACCCGGGGCGGCCGCCCCAGCUCGCCCCAAUGGUGGGUCCGCCACUGGUUACUAGAACUACCUCUCUCUUCAUUAACUCAUUGCCACAUAGACAAAUUUGCCGAGUUGGACUUGAAGUUACCGCUGAAGUUACUCCCACUGUGGCUAGUCUUAUAGGCAGGCUGUAGAUUAGUGACUGCAGCAUUAAAUGCUUACAUCUGGAGUGGAGCAUAGAAACGUAAAUAAUUGGUAGGUGAGAAGAAGGCGCCCGCUUUUAGCUAGCAGGCCGGCUACAUGCUGGCUUUAGUUUCUCGUAGCUUGCGCUGUAGCCGGGCGACACGCGAAGCGCCGGCUGUGCUCUCUCUCUUCGUUUCUCACUUUUCCAACUAAGAUUUUGCUGACAUGGAUCAUGUUAUAGCCAGUUGACUAGGACCUAUUAUACUUGCUUUUAGAUGUGUCAUAAGUAUUGCACAUCUGAGGGUCAUUCAUCUUACGCGGAGAUUUGUGUGGAAUUUUUCUUUUUCUUUGUUUUUUUUUCUUUAUUCUUGAUUCACUCAUUUAGAUGUGUAAUAACUAGUCACAUCUAGAUGUGGCCUAGACAAACCUUAAAAGUUAUUCCUUACUACAUCAAGACGAUGUGAAUUAUGGACUGUGUAUAUACGUAAGGGUGAAGUUUUCUGUUAACUAUUUGCGUCUGUUUGAUUAUUAGUCCUAUUAGUACUUCCUUUUUUUGAAUAAGUCAACUAGUGUCACGGUUCUUUACUUCCAAUUUUGAAGAACGCAUGUAGGAAUAGACAAAUCUAAAACAAAUACUAAUUUGGAACAGAGGAGUACUACUACGGAAUGCUGCAUCUAGGGAAAUUUUGUGAAGGAUGCAACCUAGGGACCGACGGGUUGCCAUAUGUUGCAAAUGGAAUUGGAUACUGUUCUUCUUUCAAUCGAAAUGGGCGCAACCAUGAGUUCCUCUCAUUAAGAAAAUGAAACUAGUACCACAGACCAUUCCCGCAACCUAAGGGUUUAAACACUGAGAUCAAAAGCUGACAAGGAAAUAAAGCUCAACCAAACAACAUGAACAACCAGGCCACAUAACACCCACACCAUAGGACAAAACUAAAACAUAAACUACACCACCACCAGCACAACCACAGGAGAAGAUCGCUGGGUGAUCAACACCUCGGUCAUCAAGCUCAGAAUAUUUCCUCAAAGUCCUCCAAAGUCGCUCUCCCACCAUGGUUGCUACCACCUCGCACCUCACUAAUAUGGUUGUUAUUAAGUACUCCAAGAACCACCCAGAUGAUUCAUUAAUUACAUUGUUACUAAGUAGACAUCCAUAAAUUAACCUUUUGAAUGUUGGACCCGAUCCCCGUUGAUAACAGCUAAGCAACUACAUGUUAUAAGGAACAAGGUAAUUGGACCUAAGUUUCUUUUACUGGGUUCUUGUCUACUGAAGCAGAAAUCAUACACGGAAUUCCUAGUUAAAAAAACUACAAUGCAUGAAAACAUAGAUUAUGAUCAAAGGUUCCACUUUCCUGGUAUUGACGAUUCUUCAAACUCACAAUCUUGAUCAAGCUACCCUUCGCUCUUCGUUUAAUCUAAUGUACGUAAAGAGUAACCAUAAACAACCAUACAACACAAAUCAACAUACAACAAGUGCACUGCAUGGUGUCAGUGUCAUUCUGAUGUGAGAUCAUGUGUCAUGUGUUAACUCAUAAGGGUUUGGAAAACAACAUAGUGGUUGUUAAUUGGAGUACAUGUGAUAUAAGGGUCCACAUGCAAGUUUCAAUUUAGAAGGAUUCAUCCCAUAAGGAGUAUGUGAUGCAAAUUUGUGGUUGCCGGACUCAUUCAAAAGAAUCUUGCAACUCGAGUCAUGGUCUAUGAACAAUGGAUAACCAAGUUCAUUUUUAGGUUUGAAUGAAAAUCCAAACUUGUUAACCUUUCAUGGGUAAUACACACUAGACUUGGAUAGAUUUCAAAAUGAUUUGAACUAGGUUCAACUAAACUAAAUUACUAAAACUAGGUUCAAUUUCAAAAUAUUUCAUAAAUGACUAAUGUUGGUUCUUGAAUUCACUUGCCAAAGUAUUUCAUUCAAUUUUUAUAAUGUAAUGACUUUAAGUUCAUUUAAGUUUCAACUAACUUCAAUUUAAGUUUGAAUUCCUAAAGUCAAAUAAUAAUCCAAAAUGUUUUCCAAAGUUCAUUUCAAGUCUUAUUCAGGUCUGCACUAUAGUAAGUUUAAAUCCAACGUUAUUCACUAUAGUCCCUAAAGUUAAGUACCAUGUCCAAUAAUUACUAUAGUUCAAUUUUAGGUUCCUAAAAUUUAAUGUGAAUUAUUAUCCCAGUUUAACCUAGGUUUUAUAGCCAAACUAAGGUUGAACUGAAUGAAAAUAAUAUUUGAAUUUUCUAAAGUCAAAUAUAAAUCCAGAAAAUAUUUACUAGAGUUCAUCUUAAGUUUCUUUACUAUGUUGCAAAAUAUUUAAUCCACUUAAACCUUUAUUUUUAAGUUAUAACUUAAAUAGUUUUAAGUUUCACUUGAAUUUCUAGCUUCUAAUGAAUUAUAUUUAGAUUCGUAUUCUAAAUUAUUCAAAUUUUAAAUCCAGAUAUCUAAGUUGAAACUAUAUUUAAUUAGGUUUACUUUGCAAACCAAAGCAAUUAAAUUGGAUGUAUAAAUUUCAAUCUAGACCCUACUUAAGUUUUAACACAUUCUAUUUGAAUUUCAACUUUAAACUUUUCAAAACUGAUGGCUCCAUAUUUUACGCAUCUUUAGAGCUCACUUGUUGAAUGUUAUCUCUGUAUAUCAAGUUAUACCAUGUUCCAUUGAGCCAAUUACAUGUCCAUAUGCAUGAUUUCUUGUCUUUACUCUUUUAACCGCGAGCAUUGCAUAACCUCUAUUAUUUUUAGUUUUAUUUAGUUUUGUUUGUCUUUGUGUGUCUUGUAGGUGACACGGACUUCCCACACACUUACCAUGACGGAAGGAGUUAAAAUACUGGACAUCCAGCCCUCAGACUUACCGUUUCGGAGAGUGAAAAAGUCAUUUUCCAAGUUGCUCAAAGCAAAGAUCUAAUACCAGAAGUGGGUCGAUGCCAUUCAUAAGAAUCCAACGAGUCCAAGCAUGUCAAAUUCCGAGUUCGUAUGACAAUUUACCGAAGAGGUCCAUAACAAACGAUGGCGUAUCAUACGACCAUAUCUUGUCGUACGCGCGGUCGUAUGGAAGAAUCAGUCCCGAAAGUUGCCUCUCUAGAUAUGAUUCUUCACCGAUUUUGUCCCUAUUUGUUCCUAUGACUUCCUUGGCCUUCAAGGGAUGUUUUGGGAGAGGAUAAGGCUCACCUAGAGCCCUCGGAUCAAAGGGGGGGGGGUGCUAUAUGAACGGAGGAGGCUACCAGAGAGCCAUUAUAUAAACACCUUCAACCCUAGCCACUGUCUCCAUCUCAUAUGUGACGCCUUCUAUUCAAUCGUACACUAAUCGUACACGCAAAUAUGUACGAUCAAGAUCAAGGACUCACGGGAAGAUAUCACAAUACAACUCUAGACAUAAAUCAAAAUAAAACAAGCUUUAUAUUACAAGCCAUGGGCCUCGAGGGCUCGAAUACAUAAGCUCGAAUACACAAGAGUCAGCGGAAGCAACAAUAUCUGGGUACAGACAUAGGUUAGACAAGUUUGCCUUAAGAAGGCUAGCACAAAAGCAACAUCGAUCGAAAAGGCAAGGCCUGAUACGUCUCCAACGUAUCUAUAAUUUAUGAAGUAUUCAUGCUAUUAUAUUAUCCAUCUUGGAUGUUUAAUGGGCUUUACUAUGCACUUUUAUAUUACUUUUGGGACUAACCUAUUGACCCAGAGCCCAGUGCCAGUUUCUGUUUUUUCCCUUGUUUCAGUGUUUCACGGAAAAUGAAUAUCAAACGGAGUACAAACGGAAUGAAACCUUCGGAAAAGUUACUUUUGGAAACAAAGCAAUACGGGAGACUUGGAGUGCACGUCAGGGGAUCAACGAGGAGAGCACGAGGCAGGGGGCGCGCCCACCCCCCUGGGCGCGCCCUCCACCCUCGUGGGCCCCUCGUGGCUCCCCUGACGUAUUUCUUCCUCCUAUAUAUACCAAUAUACCCUAAAACCAUCGGGGAACAGAAGAGAUCGGGAGUUCUGCCGCCGCAAGCCUCUGUAGCCACCAAAAACCAAUCGGGACCCUAUUCCAGCACCCUGCCGGAGGGGGGAUCCCUCACCGGUGGCCAUCUUCAUCAUCCCGGCGCUCUCCAUGACGAGGAGGGAGUAGUUCACCCUCGGGGCUGAGGGUAUGUACCAGUAGCUAUGUGUUUGAUCUCUCUCUCUCUCGUGUUCUUGAUUUGGCACGAUCUUGAUGUAUCGCGAGCUUUGCUAUUAUAGUUGGAUCUUAUGAUGUUUCUCCCCCUCUACUCUCUUGUAAAGGAUUGAGUUUUCCCUUUGAAGUUAUCUUAUUGGAUUGAGUCUUUAAUGAUUUGAGAACACUUGAUGUAUAUCUUGCGUGGGAUAACCGUGGUGACAAUGGGUUAUUCUAUUGAUUCACUUGAUGUAUGUUUUGGUGAUCAACUUGCGGGUUCCGCCCAUGAACCUAUGCAUAGGGGUUGGCACACGUUUUCGUCUUGACUCUUCGGUAGAAACUUUGGGGCACUCUUUGAGGUUCUAUGUGUUGGUUGAAUAGAUGAAUAUGAGAUUGUGUGAUGCAUAUCGUAUAAUCAUACCCACGGAUACUUGAGGUGACAUUGGAGUAUCUAGGUGACAUUAGGAUUUUGGUUGAUGUGUGUCUUAAGGUGUUAUUUUACUACGAACUCUAGGGCUGUUUGUGACACUUAUAGGAAUAGCCCAAUGGAUUGAUCGGAAAGAAUAACUUUUAGGUGGUUUCGUACCCUACCAUAAUCUCUUCGUUUGUUCCCCGCUAUUAGUGACUUUGGAGUGACUCUUUGUUGCAUGUUGAGGGAUUGUUAUAUGAUCCAAUUAUGUUAUUAUUGUUGAGAGAACUUGCACUAGUGAAAGUAUGAACCCUAGGCCUUGUUUCCUAGCAUUGCAAUACCGUUUACACUCACUUUUAUCGCUUGCUACCUUGCUGUUUUUAUAUUUUCAGAUUACAAAAACCUAUAACUACCAUCCAUAUUGCACUUGUAUCACCAUCUCUUCGCCGAACUAGUGCACCUAUACAAUUUACCAUUGUAUUGGGUGUGUUGGGGACACAAGAGACUCUUUGCUAUUUGGUUGCGGGGUUGCUUGAGAGAGACCAUCUUCAACCUACGCCUCCCACGGAUUGAUAAACCUUAGGUCACCCACUUGAGGGAAAUUUGCUACUGUCCUACAAACCUCUGCACUUGGAGGCCCAACAACGUCUACAAGAAGGUUGUGUAGUAGACAUCAAGCUCUUUUCUGGCGUCGUAGCCGGGGAGGUGAGUGCUUGAAGGUAUAUCUUUAGAUCUUGCAAUCGAAUCUUUUAGUUUCUUGUUUUAUCACUAGUUUAGUCUAUAAAAGAAAACUACAAAAAAAAUGGAAUUGAGUUUGCCUCAUACGCUUCAUCUUUUUAAUAUCUUUCGUAAGUAUGAUGGAAAGGAAAAUUGUGCCAAAGUGUUAGAAGAAGAAUGUAUUAAAAUGUUUGGCACUAAAUCUUUGUAUGAUGAGCAUGAUUGCAAUGUUGUUAGUAUGAAUUCCUUGAAUAUCCAAGAUGCUAAUGAUAUGCAAAGCCACAAGCUUGGGGAAGCUAUGUUUGAUGAAGAUGAUAUUUUUUGUCCCCCAAGCUUUGAUGAGCAAAUUUACUAUGAUGAAAGCAUGCCUCCUAUCUAUGAUGAUUAUUGUGCUGACACGUAUGCUUUAAAGAAUAAUGAUAACCAUGAAACUUGUCAUCAUGAUUUUAGUUUUCAAUUGGAUUAUGCCUCACAUGAUAGUUAUUUUGUUGAGUUUGCUCCCACUAUUAUUCAUGAGAAGAAUUUUGCUUAUGUGGAGAGUAAUAAAAUUUCUAUGCUUGUGGAUCAUGAAAAGAAUGCUUUAGGUGCUGGUUAUAUUGUUGAAUUCAUUCAUGAUGCCACUGAAAAUUAUUAUGAGGGAGGAACAUAUGCUUGUAGGAAUUGCAAUAAUAUCAAGUUUCCUCUCUAUGUGCUUAAAGUUUUGAAGUUAUGCUUGUUUCGCCUUCCUAUGCUAGUUGAUUAUUGUUCCCAUAAGUUGUUUGCUCACAAAAUCCCUAUGCAUAGGAAUUGGGUUAGACUUAAAUGUGCUAGUCAUCUUCUUCAUGAUGCUCUCUUUAUGUUUCAAUUCUUAUCUUUUAUGUGAGCAUCAUUGAAAUCAUCAUGCCUAGCUAGGGGUGUUAAAUGUUAGCGCUUGUUGGGAGGCAACCCAAUUUUAUUUUAGUUUCUUGCUUUUUGGUUUUGUUUAGGAAUAAAUAAUUAAUCUAGCUUCUAUUUAGAUGUGGUUUUGUGUUUUAAUUAGUGUUUGUGCCAAGUAGAACCUUUGGGAAGACUUGGGUGAAGUCUUUAUGAUCAUGCUGUAAAAAACAGAAACUUUAGCGCUCACGAUAUUAGCUAAAACUUUUUCCUGGAGAGUGCUAUUUAUUUGAUUAUUUUUUCAGAUGAUUACUAGACACAUUCCUCAGGUCCACCAAUUUAUUUUAGAAUUUUUGGAGUUCCAGAAAUAUACGUUUGAUACAUAUUACUAAAGACUGUUCUGUUUUUGACAGAUUCUGUUUUCUAUGUGUUGUUUGCUUAUUUUGAUUAAUCUAUGGCUAGUAAAAUAGUUUAUAAACCAUAGAUAAGUUGGAAUACAGUAGGUUUAACACCAAUAUAAAUAAAUAAUGAGUUCAUUACAGUAACUAAGUGGCGAUUUAUUUUCUUAUACUAACGGAGCUUACGAGUUUUCUGUUAAGUUUUGUGUUGUGAAGUUUUCAAGUUUUGGGUAAAGAUUCGAUGGACUAUGGAAUAAGUAGUGGCAAGAGCCUAAGCUUGGGGAUGCCCAAGGCACCCAAGGUAAUAUUCAAGGACAACCAAGAGCCUAAGCUUGGGGAUGCCCCGGAUGGCAUCCCCUCUUUCGUCUUCAUCCAUCGGUAACUUUACUUGGAGCUAUAUUUUUAUUCACCACAUGAUAUGUGUUUUGCUUGGAGCGUCAUUUUAUUUUUCUUUGUUUUGAUUGAUGUUAUUUAGAAUAAUGUUUUGCAUCUCUAGUUUCAAUAAAAAUGUCAAGGAUAGCUUUUACCAUGCUUAUUUUGCAAGUAUACAUGUUGCUGUUUCAAAACAGAAAGUUUACCGCUGUUGCAAAAAUUCCCUAGAAAAGUCAGAAUGUGAUAAAAUGUUGAAACCUUUUGCAUAAUAAGCUCUGAUUAAUUUAAUACAGUGGGAAUUUUCUUUCAUAAUUUUUGGAGCUAGGGAAGUAUGGAUCUUGCUGCAUUCUUUACAGACUGUCCUGUUUAGGCAGAUUGCUGUUAUGUUUGCAUUGUUUGCAUAUGUUUGCUUGUUUAAUGAUUCUAUUUGAGGAUAGGACUAUUAAAUAUGCAGAGGCAUUUAGUAUGCAAUGUUGAAUAAUAAUUUUAGUGAUUUGCUACAGUAUAGUAUGAUAAGGUUUUUGCAUUGGUUUAUACUAGUAUGAUAAGGUUUUUUUGUGUGGAUGAAGCUUUUGAGAUUUAGGAAGACCGUGAUAUGAGAGGAAUUAAGGAUACACAAAAGCUCAAGCUUGGGGAUGCCCAAGGCAUCCCAAGAUAAUAUUUCAAGAAGUCUCAAGCGUCUAAGCUUGGAGAUGCCCUGGUUGGCAUCCCACCUUUCUUCUUCGACAAUUAUCGGUUAGUAUCGGUUGAGCCUAAGUUUUUGCUUCUUCACAUGAUGAGUGCUAUCCUUGAAAUGUUGCUUUAUUUUGUUUUGCUUGCUGUUUGAAUAAUAUACCAAGAUCUGAAAUUCUUAAAUGAGAGAGAGUCCUCACAUAGCUAAAUAAUUAUUUAACUACUCAUUGAUCUUCACUUAUAUUUUUUUGGAGUAGUUUGGCAUCUACUUGUGUGCUUCACUUAUAUCCUAUGAGUAAAUGGUUGAAUGAUUUGAAUGUCAUAAGUCUGAAAUUAUAUAUGUUUCAUAUGCCUUUCCCAUGGGGAGUAAUGCCUUCACAUAUAAGAAGUAGAGGUGGUAAAUUUAUUGAAGGUUAGCAAACAUUGUAUUGGUCACUUCAACAAUUCAUGAAAGAAUAUUAAAGGAAGAGAGAUUUCACAUAUAAAUAUACUAUCUUGGACAUCUUCUAUGAUUGUGAGCCCCAUUAAAUAUUUUCAAACCUGAGCAAAUUAGUUGAAGUUGGACAAGGAAGACAACUUAAUGAGUUAUGCUUGGGUAUAUUUGUAUAAGUUAUAUUGUUAUGGAUCCUCUAACAUGUGGUGAUUGCUAUUUAGAAUCCUUUGCUAGCCAAAAUAUCUGUACUAAGCGGGAAUACUGCUUGUGCAUCCAAAAUCCUUGAACCAAGUUUCUUCCAUGAGUGUCCACCAUAUCUACCUAUAUGCGGUAUUUACCUGCCGUCCCAAGUAAAUUUGCAUGUGCCAAACUCUAAACCUUCAAAUAAUAAUCUGUUUUGUAUGCCCGAAUCGCUCAUGUAGCGACUAGGUGCUGUCAGUAUCUUCCAUGCUAGGUGGGUUAUUCUCACGAUGAGUGGACUCCGCUCAUCAUUCAUGAGAAAAUGGCUGGUAACUGGGAUGCCCAGUCCUAUGAUCAAAAGAUCAAAAACAAAUUCACAAAUAAUUUUAAAAAAACUCCCCCAGGAAUGUUGAUAGUUGGACGGCACCCGUUAUUUCGGACAAGCCGUGGAGUGUGAAUGUUGGUGGAGGGGGAGUAAAAAAAUUACCUUUCUGCGUGGGAACCGCCUAUGAUGUAUCUAGUAUGGAAGAUAUUGGGAACUCUUGGUCGUUAUGUUGACAAUGAAAGCAUACCUCUCAAAAUUAUUUUCAUCUCUGUUUUUGCCUUGAGCUCUGGCACCUCUGCAAAUCCCUGCUUCCCUCUGCGAAGGGCCUAUCUUUUACUUUUAUGCAAGAGUCAGUAGUAUUCCUUCUCAUUCCAACCUACUCUUUAGUUGGCAAGCAUCAUGUGAUGGAAAGAUCUAAGCAUAUAUGGCCAUCCAAAUAUAUUUGAGCAUGAAUUAUUACUGUUGACAUUACCCUUGAGGUAAAAGGUUGGGAGGCAAAACAUUAAGCCCCUAUCUUUCUCUGUGUAAUGAAUACUAUUUGUUCUAAAAAUAUGCUUUGAGUGGUAGCAAUCAUGGAAGACUAAAUGAUAGUUGAGUAUGUGAAGUUUGCUGAAUCAAAGCUCUGACAUAGACUCUUCCUGAAAAUAAGAUGAAUUGCAAUUGUUUGAUGACUGAGAACAUAGUUUGUUAGUUUUCAAGAAAGUUUAUGAUCUAUACUUUAACAUGUGAAUAGUUUGUUACUUGAUCAUGCAAAGUUCUAUGAGUUGAGCUACUUUUAUGACAUAUAAUGAUGCUAGAAAAGGUGAUUGAAAUUACCAUUGAUAAAACUUAUGCACCUGCUAGCAUUCACACUUCAUAAAUUAUUUCUUUUAUCAUUUACCUACUCGAGGACGAGCAGGAAUUAAGCUUGGGGAUGCUGAUACGUCUCCAACGUAUCUAUAAUUUAUGAAGUAUUCAUGCUAUUAUAUUAUCCAUCUUGGAUGUUUUAUGGGCUUUACUAUGCACUUUUAUAUUACUUUUGGGACUAACCUAUUGACCCAGAGCCCAGUGCCAGUUUCUGUUUUUCCCUUGUUUCAGUGUUUCGCAGAAAAGGAAUAUCAAACGGAGUCCAAACGGAAUGAAACCUUCGGAAAAGUUAUUUUUGGAAAGAAAGCAAUACGGGAGACUUGGAGUGCACGUCAGGGGAUCAACGAGGAGAGCACGAGGCAGGGGGCGCGCCCACCCCCCUGGGCGCGCCCUCCACCCUCGUGGGCUCCUCGUGGCUCCCCUGACGUAUUUCUUCCUCCUAUAUAUACCAAUAUACCCUAAAACCAUUGGGGAACAGAAGAGAUCGGGAGUUCCGCCGCCGCAAGCCUCUGUAGCCACCAAAAACCAAUCGGGACCCUAUUCCAGCACCCUGCCGGAGGGGGGAUCCCUCACCGGUGGCCAUCUUCAUCAUCCCGACGCUCUCCAUGACGAGGAGGGAGUAGUUCACCCUCGGGGCUGAGGGUAUGUACCAGUAGCUAUGUGUUUGAUCUCUCUCUCUCUCUCUCGUGUUCUUGAUUUGGCACGAUCUUGAUGUAUCGCGAGCUUUGAUAUUAUAGUUGGAUCUUAUGAUGUUUCUCCCCCUCUACUCUCUUGUAAUGGAUUGAGUUUUCCCUUUGAAGUUAUCUUAUCGGAUUGAGUCUUUAAUGAUUUGAGAACACUUGAUGUAUGUCUUGAGUGGGAUGACCGUGGUGACAAUGGGUUGUUCUAUUGAUUCACUUGAUGUAUGUUUUGGUGAUCAACUUGCGGGUUCUGCCCAUGAACCUAUGCAUAGGGGUUGGCACACAUUUUCGUCUUGACUCUCCGGUAGAAACUUUGGGGCACUCUUUGAGGUUCUAUGUGUUGGUUGAAUAGAUGAAUCUGAGAUUGUGUGAUGCAUAUCGUAUAAUCAUACCCACGGAUACUUGAGGUGACAUUGGAGUAUCUAGGUGAUAUUAGGAUUUUGGUUGAUGUGUGUCUUAAGGUGUUAUUUUACUACGAACUCUAGGGUUGUUUGUGACACUUAUAGGAAUAGCCCAAUGGAUUGAUCAAAAAGAAUAACUUUGAGGUGGUUUCGUACCCUACCAUAAUCUCUUCGUUUGUUCCCCGCUAUUAAUGACUUUGGAGUGACUCUUUGUUGCAUGUUGAGGGAUAGUUAUAUGAUCCAAUUAUGUUAUUAUCGUUGAGAGAACUUGCACUAGUGAAAGUAUGAACCCUAGGCCUUGUUUCCUAGCAUUGCAAUACCGUUUACGCUCACUUUUAUCGCUUGCUACCUUGCUGUUUUUAUAUUUUCAGAUUACAAAAACCUAUAUCUACCAUCCAUAUUGCACUUGUAUCACCAUCUCUUCGCCGAACUAGUGCACCUAUACAAUUUACCAUUAUAUUGGGUGUGUUGGGGACACAAGAGACUCUUUGCUAUUUGGUUGAAGGGUUGCUUGAGAGAGACCAUCUUCAACCUACGCCUCCCACGGAUUGAUAAACCUUAGGUCAUCCACUUGAGGGAAAUUUGCUACUGUCCUACAAACCUCUGCACUUGGAGGCCCAACAACGUCUACAAGAAGAAGGUUGUGUAGUAGACAUCAAGGCCUCCUGCCUGGGAGCCUCCUUACUACUCCUGGUCGUCGGCGGUCUCCACGUAGUAGUAGGCAUCGACGGUGGCAUCUGGCUCCUGGGCUCCGACAUCUGGUUGCAUCAACCGGAAAGAAGAAGAAAGGGGGGAGCAAAGCAACCGUGAGUACUCAUCCAAAGUACUCGCAAGCAAGGAUCUACACUACAUAUGCAUCGGUAUCAAUGAAAUGGGCUGAAUAUGUGGACUGAACUGCAGAAUGCCAGAAGAGAAGGGGAAAGCCUAGCCUAUCGAAGACUAGCAUCUUCAAGCAGCUCCAAGCAUCAUGAAGCAUCAGAAGAGAUAAGAGAAGCAUAAAGUAUAGUAGUAGUGUUAUCAACCUCGGCCAGAGAUCCUUUCCCGACUCCCUGCGAGAAAGCAAUCCCGGAGCCAUACUAUCCAUUUCUCAUAUCCAUGUCUCAUCUCAAGUAUCCAGUUCUAGUUGUAUCGAUCGGGAUACAACUCCAAGUCUCCGUUACCGUAGGACAGGCUAUCGAUAGAUGUUUUCUUCCCUGCAGGGUGCGCCAACUUACCCACCAUGCUCGAUUAACUCCGGCCGGACACACUUUCCUGGGUCAUGCCCGGCCUCGGCCAAACAAUACGCCACAACCCGACCUAGGCUUAAUAGAGAGGUCAGCACGCCAGACUAAACCUAUGCCCCCAGGGGUCAUGGGCCAUCACCCCGGGAACUCCUGCACGUUGCGUACGCGGCCGGUGAGCAGAUCUAGUUACCUCCUUUAAAAAGGCAGGUGCUUACCAGUCCAACCCGGCGCGCGCCGCUCAGUCGCUGACGUCUAUUAAGCUUCGGCUGAUGCAUACGACACAGAACACCCAUACUACGCCCACGUGAUGGUUAGUGCUAUCAGGCCAGAGGCCCCUCGGAUCAAAUAUCCAAAUCGUAGUGGAUUAGGAACGCGUGGUAACAAGCAGAGACUCACGAAAGAUGUGACCCCGUCGCCCCGUCUCGAGGACUUGCGGCAAGGGCUAGGAAUGCCCGGCCACGCCUCGUAAUUAUCUCGCGGGCACCCUCCAGGUCAACCCAUCUCCACAUCACUCGCGGGUACCCCUCAGGGUCGACCCGCCUUUCCAAGUAACAGUGGUAAAGUCCAAGUAUCCGUGUGUCCAAACAUCAAGGGGAAAACCCGAGGAAUCACCCCCGGUGAAUUCCACUCGAUGUAAUCAUCAAGGUGAACGUAAGAGGAACCACCCCCGAGGUUCACACUUGAGGGGUUGCACGACAGAGUCGUAUCGGAAGUGGUUAAGGCGGAAUCACCCUCGAUGACCACGACCGAAUAGCUACACUACAUGGUUAACAUCAGAAGUGCUGUAGAGGUCUCACCCUCGGCACUCGAUAGUAACCCAGUAGUGUCGAGCAACUAAGGGGAAAGUGAUGUGCGGUGCCGGGGCCUGGUCUUCGAUCCCGUUGAUUGGGUCUUCUGAUAAUCCAGCGGGGCAGUCGGGACAAAGUGGGGGUCUCUGACGGGUCUCUACCCAACCUAUACUAAACAGUUUAGGAUAAGCAGGUAGGUAACAACAACAGGUUACAAUAAACAGGCUAUGCAUCAGAAUAGGAGCAAACAAUAACAGUAGCAAAAUCUAAUGCAAGCAUGAGAGAAUGGAACGGGCGAUAUGGGGAUGAUCAAAGGGGGGCUUGCCUGGUUGCUCUGGCAAGAAUGAGGGGUCGUCGUCGACGUAGUCGAUCACAAGGGCGGCAUUGGUCUCGGGGUCUACCGGAGAGAAGAGGGGGAAGAAACAGUAAAUACAUAGCAAACAGAGGCAUCACUAAGCAUGACAUGACGAUACGUAGUGCCAGGCGUGCUCUAACGCGGUACUACACGUUGCAGACGAAGGGGGAAAACAUCCGAGGAUGAUUUCCCGGCGGUAGGCGGAUUUCAGACAAAUGAAAGAGAGGGGACGGUUCCAUGUUCAGCAUGCUAGGGGCAUGUGACAGAUGAAUGGACCGCGUAUUCGGAUUCGUUGGAUUUUUCUAAGCAACUUUCAUAUAGAAAGUUUUUCGAUCCGAGCUAUGGUUUAUUUGCUAUGAAAUUUCAAAGGUUUUAAUCAUUUUCUGGAAUUUAAGCUAAUAAAAAAAGAGUGAAAAGGCUAGGUGCACCCGGUGCAGUGCACCAGUGAGGCUGACCCGUGGGUCCAGUCAACUGCUGACUCAGCAGUUGACUGGUCCACGGUUGACCAGUCAACUGGUCUGAUGGGACCCGCAUGGCAGUGUGAUUAAGCUAAUUAACUAAGAAUUAAUUAAUUAACUAAUUAAUCUAAUUACUACUUUCAUUUAAAAUUCCUUUUUAAAAGGGGCGGGCCCCACUAGUCAUACUCAAGGGGGGUUAGCACUUAAUCUAAACUGGGGGGUUAUCCCCACUAAUCCAGCACAGAACCGGCUGGCUCGCUCGAUAGAAGCCAUGGCCGGGUGUGCCGCCAGCGAUGGUGGGCGAGCAGGCGGCGCGCGGGGCGGGGGGGCAGUAGCGGGCGUCGCCNNNNNNNNNNNNNNNNNNNNNNNNNNNNNNNNNNNNNNNNNNNNNNNNNNNNNNNNNNNNNNNNNNNNNNNNNNNNNNNNNNNNNNNNNNNNNNNNNNNNNNNNNNNNNNNNNNNNNNNNNNNNNNNNNNNNNNNNNNNNNNNNNNNNNNNNNNNNNNNNNNNNNNNNNNNNNNNNNNNNNNNNNNNNNNNNNNNNNNNNNNNNNNNNNNNNNNNNNNNNNNNNNNNNNNNNNNNNNNNNNNNNNNNNNNNNNNNNNNNNNNNNNNNNNNNNNNNNNNNNNNNNNNNNNNNNNNNNNNNNNNNNNNNNNNNNNNNNNNNNNNNNNNNNNNNNNNNNNNNNNNNNNNNNNNNNNNNNNNNNNNNNNNNNNNNNNNNNNNNNNNNNNCGGCGGAGUGCAUCGCCGGCGUAAGGCGGGGCGCGCAUGGCAGGCGAGCGGGCAGGCGAGCGGUGGCGGCCGGAGGCGGGCGUAGAGCAGCUGCAGCGGGCAGCGCAGGGAGCAGCUGUAGUAGCAGUAGGAAGAAGCAGCAGCAGCGGAGCGAGCAGCAAGCAAGGCGAGGCCAGGACGCAGGCGGACGCGACAGCGGGCGGGCGUGUGCGCGUGCGUAGGGCGCGGCAGGAGCACGGGCAGGGGCGGUCCAAGGCACGCAGCCGGCACGACCGAGGCAGAUGCGGGAGUAGACCAGGCGCACAGCAGCCAAGCAGUAGCAGCAACGCAACAACGUACGGGGGGGACGUGACGGGCGCGAGGUCAGAACGCGGCGGUGACGACGACCUACGGUGCCGGAUUCGAAUGGAAAAAGGGGGGAUGGAGCAAGGGGCUCACAUCGGUGCCGAAGGUGAACUCGAGGAGGUCGGGGAUGUCCUGGAUGUGGCAGAUCGAUGGGCGGCGUCCGGCGACCGUAGUCGGAGAAGGAUGGUCGAUGGCGAGGCUUCGAGGCAGCCCGGGGCUUGUACUUGCACCACGAGGACGAGGGAGAUGAGGGUGACCUCCUGGAUGUGGUCUCAGGUGGCGGGGAGCUCGUUGGCCGUGGCUACAACGACGGUCGCGACGACCACAGCUUAGUUGAAGCUCCAGAUCGGGAACGAGGAAAGGGGGAGAGGGGAAUAAUGCUAGGGUUCGAUAGAGGGGCGCGAGGAUGCUCUUAUCCGUCUCAGGGCACCGACGGAUGGUCGACACGGGUGAGAUCCGCGUGUGGACGGUCGCGCGUGCCCGGCCAGCGCCAUGGCCUCUGCCUCUGACGAAAGGUGAGGGAAAGGCCGGGGCGGUGGGCCGGGCCUCGUACAGUGCAAGCUGGGCCAGGUGCAAAAGAGGGGGGGUGGUCUUUCUAUUUCCCCUUUUUUUAUCCUUUUUCUGUUUUGCCUUUUUGCCUCUGUUUGCAAAUUGCUUGACCACCAAAAAACUUUUGUAAAAAAAGCAACUUGCCAAAACAAAUACUAGGCAUUAUUUAGUACUGCUACAAAAAAGCUUGAGUUUAUUUUGAAAAGUUUAGAAUCGUGUUUGAAUUUAAAUGGUUCAUUAAGAUGUUGCUGGAACACUACAUUAAAUCCCGGGGGGUUUGGAAAUCCAAAUGAGGUUGUUUUCACCAUGACAAAUACUUGGAGAUUAUUUGCAACAUCAAGAACAUUUUUGUUUGCAUGACAGAAGAAGCAAAUAUUUAACUUGUAAUUCAACUGGAAUUUGGAUUUGAUUUCAUCAAGUGGCAAUUUAGUUUGAAAAGCAUGAUGACAUGGCAUCAUUGAAGGGGAGAUCACUGUAGCAUGGUUCUCGGGGUGUUACAUCAUAUCAUUCAUCAUUCAUCAUUCAUCUCCAUGUCCAGCCACCGUCCACAUCAAGAACACCAUAGUUGCAACCGAGAGGGAGACCGAAGGGAGCCGUCGCCGCCGCUCCAUCGCCACCAUCAUCCGCCGCCGCGCCAUCAUCAUCACCAUCACCACCCCUUCUUCCUCCUCCAUAAUGGUCUCUGUGAUGGGUUGUAACAACUCUUGAACCCCCUUAUAUGUGAUGUUAUUUGAGUAAUUGUUAGCUAUGGGUCGGUCAAUUAGUAAGUGGUUGUUUGAUAUGUUUAGUCUAUUUAUGUGUGUUGCUUACUUACCUCUGCGGUAAUUUAGUGAAUUGGAUACGUUCAAUCCAUUGGCGUAGUUGGAGACGUUCAAAUCUUAGGCCACAUGAUAGAAUUUUUUGGAAACUGAUAGACUUGUGACGUGACAAGUGCAGACAUCUUAAGGGGAACACAAUUAUUCUAGGAGCACGGUUGUCCAUAGAACUUAUUGCCUUCAUUCGGUCCUCGUGACCUUAAUAUCUUUGUGUUUCCUGCCACAAGUAUGGGACAAGAAGUAGGACGAAUGAGCUAUCUCAGUACAUCGCGUCUUGAGGGAUAACAUUAUGCAAGGGAUCGCCCACCAUUAGUAGAUUGCCGUAUCCUAUAAUGCAGGUACUGACUUAGCCACCACAUGGCAUAGUCGUAAAUCUUAACACCAUUUUGUGCCCGUACCAAACGAGACGAUACCUAGAUGCCAGCAACCUCAUCUAAAACAUCACAUAGUUCUCUUAGUUUAUUUUCCUCUAUUUAUAUUAUUUAUUUUCUGUUCUCUCUAGUACUUAGUUCUCUCUUUUACCAUUCCCUAGCAACCUACUCGAAUGAACUAUUUCCAAACUCUGGUUUGGGUGUGAGCGUAGUUGUGUUGAGUGACGAUAGGGACUGUGGUGCCAUCCUAUUCGCUCCCUAUGGGAUCGACAAACCUUACUUAUCAUGAAAUUUCUACAUAGCCUUGUGCACUUGCAUGCCAUCAAAAACCUAAUCUUUAUUGGUCUAGGUGAAAGCUUACUUCAUAAGGUCUAGUUUGCAAAAAGUUUCACUCAAUUUGGACCUACUCGUAAAACUUAUAAUGGUUAAAGUUCCAGGGGGUUUCUGUAAAACUACCAAGCGGUUUUAAUUUAAAUCAGAAAAAUGUUGUGGAUAAGGCUGGGGACACGUGGAUGGCUCCUACGGGUCUACACCGAUUCGGUUAAGUGACUGGACGUGGGGUCAUGCGCUUAGUUGUGCUCAGGUGAGUGGGCAAGCGACGUGGGGCGGCAGUUAAUGGACAAAGACAAAGCUGACUGUGGGGUUAGCCUGUCAGUGAGAGAGAGAGGGUGUGCAGCUGGCUAGCUAGAUCGUUGUGUUAGGUGAGCCUCUAGGUUUAGGUUGUUCAUUCUUUUCGGUUCCCUUUGUAAAUUCAAAACUAUUUAGAAAUUGAAUUUUCUUCCAAAAGUUAACUAGCCUAAAUUCCAAAUGGAAUACUCCUGGUCUGGUGAUCAUUCUGCCACCUUAUAUUUUCUUUUUCUGUUUUCAAUUCCUUUUUGAACUUCAAUUUGGUUUGAAACAAUAUACUCUAAAUCUAACUUGGAAUAUUAAUAGAAAGUCAAGCAUUUUCUUUGGACUUAUGGUAAUUAUUUUUCCUGCCAAACAAUGCAAGGCCCUUUCAAAUAAUUUUCCCAUUUGAUUUCUGAAUUCAUUCCAACAUAAUUUCAUUUCCACUAUUUGGGAAAUUUAUUAGGGUUAUGAAUAUCAUUUUGAACUGAUUAAGAAUACAUUUACGCCCAAAUAAAUAUUUUAAUUUGUCACCCUAUUUUAGGAUUCAAAAUUAUUCCCUAAAACCUUUUAGGGUUCAUUCUGUUUUACCAAUUUCAAUCUAGGGUUUCAAAUGUCGGCAUAGGGCCUUUGACCCUCUAGGUUGAUCAAUUCAAUCGAUCACAAGAAAAUACUAGGGAAUGUGAGAUAAUGAGAGAGCAGGCAAAAAAAAUCUACAAAAAUAUUAAUUCCCUGUGAAAUUUUAAACAUACUAGAUUUGGAAAAAAUCUGGGAUGUGACAAAAACUCAGUUUUAUUCUUUUCGUUGACUAUACAAUAAAUAUCCCAGAACUGGGUGCCUAGAGGUGAGUUUACAAACCAAAUAUGUUCACCAAACAACACAUAUCUAGCAUUACCUAAAAACCAUGUAUAUCCAAACCUAACAACUUUCAUAGCCCACAUAACCGAUAUGUCUCCAACGUAUCUAUUUUCUUAUUGUUCCAUACUAUUACAUUGUCUGUUUUGGAUGUUUUAUAUGCAUUAAUAUGCUAUUUUAUAUUAUUAUUGGGACUAACUUAUUAACCUAGUGCCCAUUGCCAGUUGUUAUUUUUUCCUUUUUUUGGCUUUUAGAGAAAAUCAAUACCAAACAGAGUCCAAACGGAAUAAAACUUUACGAUGAUUUUUCUUGGACCGUAAGAAACCCAGGAAGCUUUGGGAGGAGGCCAGAAGACUUGCAAGGAGGCCACAAUCCGUAGGCCUUCUAACCCUAACUCCACCACUAUAAAUUCUCAAAUAUUCCCCUUACAUCAGAGGGCACACAAAAAAUAUUAUUCCGCCGCCGCAAGCUUCUGUUCUCAUGAGAUCCCAUCUUGGGGCCUUUUCCGGCACUCCGCUAGAGGGGGAUUCGAUCAUGGAGGGCCUCUACAUCAACCUUUGCUUCCCUUCCCAUGAUGCGUGAGUAGUUUACCACGGACCUAAGGGUUCAUAGUUAGUAGCUAGAUGGCUUCUUCUCUCUCUUUGAUCUUCAAUACAAUGUACUCCUCGAUGUUCUUGGAGAUCUAUUCGAUGUAAUCUUCUUUUGCGGUACGUUUGUUGAGAUUCGAUGAAUUGUGGAUUUAUGAUCAAAUUAUCUAUGAAUAUUAUUUGAGUCUUCUCUGAACUCUUUUAUGCGUGAUUGAGAUAGCUUAGUAUUUCUCUCCGAUCUAUCGAUCUGGUUUGGCCUACUAGAUUGGUUUUCCUUACAAUGGGAGAGGUGCUUUGUGAUGGGUUCAAUCUUGCGGUGUCUUCACCCAGUGACAGUAGGGGCAGCGAGGCUCGUAUUGUAUUGUUUCCAUUAAGGAUAAAAAUGGGGUUUAUAUCAUAUUGCUUGAGUUUAUCCCUCUACAUCAUGUCAUCUUGCUUAAGGUGUUACUCUAUUCUUAUGAACUUAAUACUCUAGAUGCAUGCAGGAGUCGGUCGAUGUGUGGAGUAAUAGUAGUAGAUGCAUAAUUGUUUCGGUCUACUUGUCACGGGCGUGAUGCCUAUAUUCAUGAUCAUUGCCUUAUAUAUCGUCAUAACUUAGCGCUUUUCUAUCAAUUUCUCAACAGUAAUUUGUUUACCCACUGUAUGCUUUAUUCAAGAGAGAAGCUUCUAGUGAAACCUAUGGCCCCCGGGUCUAUUUUCCACCAUAUAUUUUCAGAUCUACAAAACAAAAACCUAAAAAUACCUUGCUACAAUUUAUUUAUAUUCACUUAUUUGCCUUUUACUUAUUUUUUAUAUCUAUCUCUAUUAGAUCUCACUUUUGCAAGUGACCGUGAAGGGAUUGACAACCCCUUUUCGCAUUGAGUGCAAGUGUUUGUUAGUUUGUGCAGUUGCAUAUAUUGGGGACUUUCUUGUGCCUCCUACUGGAUUGAUACAUUGGUUCUUAACUGAGGGAAAUAUUUAUCUCUACUUUGCUGCAUCACCCUUUCCUCUUCAAGGGAUAAAUCAUCAACGCAAGCUCAAGAAGUAGCAGGAAGAAUUUCUAGCGCGGUUGCCGGGGAGGUUCUACAUCAAGCCUACUAAGUACCUAUCAUAAACUCUCAUCUCUUGCAUUUACAUUAUUUUCCAUUUGUCUACCAUUUUCCUCUCCCCCACUUCUAAAACGUUUUCAGAAAAACACAAAAAUAUUUGCCUUCUUUCCGUUCGUCUUUUCGUUUGCUUGUGCCUCCUACUAGAUUGAUACCUUGGUUCUUAACCGAGGGAAAUACUUAUCUCUACUUUGCUGCAUCACCCUUUCCUCUUCAAGGGAAAAAUCAACGCAAGCUCAAGAAGUAGCAAUAACCCCUUUAAAAAAUUGAGAAGGAUGUGGAUCAUGGCAGCACAUAGUAUUAAGGUUCUUGGUAUUAUACUUAGCAUCUAUAACUCUACUCCAUAGUGUCCCUUCUCCUAAGAUAUCUCUUUUAACCCAGGAGACGGUUAGGCAAAGAUUCAUAUCAUGUAUAUUUUGAACUCCCAUCCACCAUAUUCCCUUUUCAUGCAUAUGGAGGGCCAAUUGGCAGGGUGCAUCUUUUGGCAGCCUUCACCAUCACUCCAGAAAUAAUUAUAAAACCAUGAAUUGACCAAAGGCACAUACCAUUUCGGGAACUUAUAGGAAGAUAACAUGUGAAUAGGAAUACUAGAUAGACAAAUCCUAACCAAGGUGACCCUCCCUAAUAAGGACUAGGAUCUUACCCUCCAUCUAGCCAUCCUGUCCAGCAUGGCAUCAACUAGAGAUUGGAGGUCCUCUCUCUUGAUCUUAUCAAAUUGCAAAGGAACUCUAAGUACUUAAUAGGCAAGCCCCCCCUUGAAUAAAUUAAAAAUACCCAAGAAAGGUUUAACCUCUCCAGGUUCUAAAUUGAUAGGCACCAAUUCAUUUUUGUGAUAAUUAAUAGACAUCCCUGAAACCAACUCAAAGCAAGUUAAGACCCACUUAAUAUUUAAAGCUACUAGAGGGUCAUUAUCAAUGAACAAGAAAGUAUCAUUUGCAUAUCACAGACACACUACACCACAAGGGCAAAAAAUAGGGAAGAGCCCUCUAAUUAGCCCAACGCCCCAACUCGUCAUCCUUUCACUAAUAUCCUAGCAAACACAUCCACCACCAAAUUAAAAAUCAAUGGGGACAAAGGGUCUUCCUGUCUCAAAUCCCUACUAGUGAAGAAGAAGUAAGUUUCCUCACCAUUAAUCUUCACAUCCACUGAUCCUACUGGGUGAGUCUCCUAAUCCAACCAAUCCAUUUAGCACCAAACCCCCUAAGUUCAAGAACCCCAUUCAAAAUAUAUAUCUAAACUAACCUUGUCAUAAGCCUUUUCAUAAUCAAUCUUAAAUACAAGGUCUUUCUAAAGAGAAGAGUGUACCGAGUGAGCAACCUCAUGGGCAAUCACCACACUCUUCAAAAUAAACCUACCUCUAACAAAAGCAGAUUGAUGCUCAGAUAUUAGUCUGCCAAUAAUCAGGGCUAGUCUAUUGGUAGACUUUAGUAAAGAUCUUAAAACAACAAUUGAGGAGAUUUAUAGGCCUAAAUUUCUUCAUGUUUCUGGCAUCAACUUCUUUAGGAAUAAGAGUGAUGCAAAAUCAAGUCUAAUGAUGUCUAGGUUUAGAUCAAACAAGACUUCAAACAUAGCCAUCAAAUCAACUUUAAUAAUGUCACAGAACACUUGGUAAAAUAUAAAAGGCAAUCCAUCGGGCCUAGGGGCACCAUCACAAUAGGAGUCAAAACAGCUUCCUAAUCUCCUCCUCGGUACACCUAGUAUUCUCCUCCACAGAAAUUUUCUCGUCCUCUCCAAAUAAAUCACUCUUAAGAGAAAUAUCAGGUCUAUGUUCAUAUCUAAAUAACUCCUUAUAAUAGUCCAAAGCCCUCAGGUCCAUCUAGAACACUAAUCAGUUUUUCCUUCACCUAUGAUUAGCUACAACAUGGAAGUAAGCAGUGUUUGUGUCAUCCUCCAUAAUAUCCCUAUCCCUAGACCUUUCUCCAACCGUAGUCUCCUAUGUAUUCCAAGUGUCUCCUAACUCUAGCAGAAUUUUAUCCACUGAUCCUACCCUUCGCCGCGCCUGUCGCCAUGGCCGCGCGUGAUGGGGGUCAGCACCGGAUGUUGCGGCUUGCAAGCCAAACGGUGCGACGAGCGACGACCGGAGCUGUGACUGACACCGCACAAGUGGAAAAUUAGAAUUGCAACUAUUGACAGAAAUGUUUCAACAAUAGAUAUUAAAGUUUCAACCAUAGUUGGUUUCUGUUACUACCGGCGAAGUGUUUUGCUGCAUCCAUCAAGGUGGAGCUGCGACCUCGCAACGGCGGCGACGGUGAUUUGCUGCAACCGUAAUUGGUUUUUGCUACGACCGGCGAAGUUUUUUGCUACAUCCGUCAAGGCGGAGAUGUGACCUCGCGAUGACGAUGAUGGACAUUUGCUGCAGCCAUAGUCGGGUUUUGCUACGACAGGCGAAGUUUUUUGCUACAUCCAUUCAACGACGUUGAUUGACUGGUGGGCGUCGUCGACGCAAUUCCGUUCAGCGAGCAUCAACAGCGAGGGGCGGCGGCGGAGCUACAAACAGAGCUACAAUCGUCGCCGUUGAGAGCUGCAACCACAGGUGGAGCUGUUGCAUGGGUCGAGGCAGCGACGAGGACGGACGGCGAGGGUAUGGACUGGCGACGAGGACGGCCGGCGAGGGUGGGGACCGGCGACGAGGACGUCCACUGAAGGGGAGCAGCGCGAGACGGCUAGAUGCAGGGUGCUGCGCGAGCGUAAGAUGCGUGAGGAGAAAGAAGAUCUGGGGCGAAUAAUAUAUUUUUUUGCUAGAUCAAACGGCUAGGAAUAGUGGCAUCCUGCAGCUAGGGCGCGACCGGACUAAACUUUGGACCGGCGCGCCGGCGCAGAUCACUCGCCUUUGGUAAAUACAUGGCAAUUUUGAGAUGAACUCUGUAGGAAAGUUUGCAAAGAACCCUGCGAACGUGGAAUGCAACACCUAUGUUUCUUUAUUUAUUCCUAAUUUUCCUCUGUUUCAGGCUCAGGAAUGCGUGCUCCUGUUAAUAUAUUCUGUAUUAUAACGUUUACAGAGCCAACACCUGUUCCUGUUCGACUGGUACUCAUUGCUUUAUUUUUAGAUGAAUCUCGUGACCCUAUCUUGCGCUGAGCAGUGCAGACUUUGCUAGUUUUCGUGCUUCCUUCAACUGAUGCAUUUUUUUUGCGGGUUGUUUAAAUAUGCAAGCAAUGUUCUAGUAAAAGACUUGGUAGGUGAUGAAUCAAAUGCCCUUGCUCAUUCUGCCUUAAAUUACAGAGCUCAGACUAUAUAUAUUACAUGGUACAUACGCUGGAGAAAGAAAGAGUACUUGAUUCCCCAUUCGAUUCACACACACCACCCGAAAGAAGUCACGGACACAGAUACGUUGCUGCUGCUUCUUCGACCUCCAGCAGAUCCCAUCAAUCCAUGCGUCCGAUCUGAUGCAAUGCAACAACCCCUCUCCCACCACGCGCGCAAGCCAAAAAAUCGUCUUAU